RNAcentral lists this long non-coding RNA (45609 nucleotides) under Populus tremula. RNAcentral's name for it is "long non-coding RNA (PTRE_LNC001170)". The record is from RNAcentral. Lineage: Eukaryota; Viridiplantae; Streptophyta; Magnoliopsida; Malpighiales; Salicaceae.
GUGUGCUGAGCUACCCCCAGAGAUCAAGAGGCACAUUCAUCCAGAACACCCUCUUCGUCUACUGCCAAAUCAUGAUACGAUGUGUGAUUUUUGCAACGAAACUUGCUAUGAGAGUUUUGUUUACUGCUGUUUUGUGUGCGAAUUCAACCUCCAUAUCAAAUGUGCUUUUCCACCGUGCGUUUAUGCAGCUGAUCAGGAUCAAAGGCAUCAAUUUAGACGCCUACUGAAUCCACUUCAUUCAAAUCAAUCUCCUUCACUUGCAAUGCAUGUGGCACAGAUGGAGAUGACUCCCCAUUCAUGUGCACCAUGUGCCAACUCGUGGUCCACGAAGAAUGCAUUUCAUUGCCAGGCACCCUUAAAACAGCACUGCACCAUCAUCCCCGAAUCAUCCACACAUACCAACUUCAACAAUGCAUCGAAUCUAUAAACAAGUACUGUGGAAUUUGCCGUCGGGAAGUUGACACAGAAUACGGAGUUUACUAUUGCCCAGACUGUGACUUUGUUGCACACGUGAAUUGUAGCAGAGAAUAUGGCGAUUCUGCAACAGAGACUGGAGGAGAAAACGAAGAAGAGCAAAGUGUGGCUGUUGAUGAUCAAUUCAUGGAACCUAGCUUUCGCGUUGUCCGUGAGAUCAAGUAUGGAGAGGAGAGAAUAAUUGAAGAGAUCAAACAUUUCAGUCAUCAACAUAACCUAAUCCUUACUGACAAGGUUGAUGAUGAUCUAAAGUGUGAAGGGUGCAUGUUACCAAUCUCAACUCCAUUUUACAGUUGUGCCAAUUGUAAUUUCUUUCUUGACAAAACCUGUAGCAUAGAAUUACCCAGGCAAAAAAAGUGGCAAUAUCACGCAAACCAACUGAUUCUUUCAUGGAACCGAUCGGAACGUGGUAUGUUCUACUGUCAUUUGUGUGCUCAAUAUUGUAGUGGGCUCAUGUACAGAUGUGAUGUAUGUGUACUCCAGAUUGCUGUCCGAUGCUUCAAAUCAAUAUUGAAAGAUUCUUUUAAACAUGGAGGUCACGAGCAUCCCCUUUAUCUUCCAGCGGACAGAAAGAAUAUUCUCCGUUGCCGUAUUGGGGGUGAGGGGUUUCCCCCUUUGCUUGCAUCGGACGGAGAGAAUAUUCCGCAUUGCAGUGGCUGUUGUGUCAGUGAAGAAUCAAAGGUAUUUUUGAAAUGUGCGGUUUGCGAUUUCAAGCUGGGUAUGAAAUGUGCUACACUGCCAUACAAAGCAAGACACGAGUAUGAUGACCAUCCUCUCUUCCUCACCUACAUUAAUGAAAAUGACUACCAGCCUUCCUGCAUAAUUUGUGAAAAAGAUAGAGACCCGAAGCUCUGGUUCUACCGUUGUGAGGAAUGCGACUUCGAUGCUCAUCCAGAAUGUGCUCUCGGGAAAUACCCAUACGUCAAGCAGGGGGGUUUAACAUAUCCUAAACACCCUCACCCUCUUGCUUUGGUCGACAAGACAGAGGAUUAUCGUCCACAGGCAUGCGAUAUUUGUGGUGACCUUGCGAUGACUUGGCCUUGAAUGUACUGAUCCUAACUGCAUUUUAUCGUCCACAGGAAAGAUGGCAAUGCUUUGACUCAUUAUGUAAUUGGAUUGCAGUUGUUGGCUUUUUUCUUAUUUUUGGGUUAUGAUUGUUGGGGUGAAUGGUUAGCUUCAUACUUAUUAUCUCUGUUUCUAUUUUCGCUUAUCAGAUCACUUUUUUUUCUUUUUUUUUCUGAACAAUAAAAGAUGCUAUUUCAUUAAAACUGUCAAUGUAGUUUGUUGUUUCUUUGUGCCUUCGUAAGUGACGAAGAUGUCUGACCUUCCACCAUUUUUUUAGCUUAGCAGGAAGCUCUCCAUAAAUUCUGCUUUUACAUUUUUGUUAUAGAUUUUAUUGUAAAUGCAAAAAUAUUUCAUAAAAAUAACACUUAUCUAAUGAUAUCAAUUAUUUUCAUUCAAAUAUUUAAUUUUUAUUUCCUUAACACAAUCUAAUAAUAAAUAAAUGUAUUUAAAUAAUAUUUAAAACGAAGAUCUCAAGGGCAUUCCAUAGCUUUGUCCUUUAAUAAGAUAUCUCAUGAAAAAAUAAGUUAAUUUAUGUUUUUGGUAUUUUUCUUCUUAAGAAGAAUAAAAAUAAAAAUAAGAAUAAGAAUAAGCCUAUGGUUAUCUAAUUUCAAAAUCACGAAGGGAUUUAGAGGCUCAAAUCCUAAAAAAAAAAAAAAAACUAAAUAGAAAAAAAAUUAUAAAUCAACUAAUAAAAUAUUAAGUCUAGAUAUUUUUUUUGGUUUUAUUUGAAAGUCUUGUUGAUUUUAAAUGAUUACAAAAUUCUAAUUUUAUAGAAAAUAAAGCUUUUAAAAUUUUCUAAUAAAAUUUGAGUUGGAUUAAGAUAAAAAAAAAUAAAAUUAUGCCCUUUACAAGAUUGCUUAUAUUUUAAAAAAUAUCAUAUAUUAAUCGUCUCGAAUUCAAAUUGUUGUUGCUUCAAUUUCGCAAGUAUCAAAUUAAAAAUCUCAAACCUUUUGCACGUGCAGGCAACAUUCCCAGCCUUCUCGGUAUUAAGAGUUCUUAUGGCAGCUUAUGACAGCUUUAUUGUCAUAAUACAACUUCGUUGGCAUAUUCAUCGGCAUUCACAGUUCUUCAAGAAUUCUCUUCAGCCAUAACAUUUCACAAACUCCAUUUUCAUAACCUUAUAUUCUACUUGAGCACUGCUUCUUCCAACCAUAUUUUGUUUCUUACUUUGCCAUGUAACCAUAGAUUUAAGUACAAUAUUCUAAUGUGGAUCUUCUAUCAAUAACUAAACCUGCCCAUUCUACAUCAGCUUCAAGAUGUUUUGCAUGGGGUGAAUGCAAACCCAGCAUUUGUAUUCCAAACAAAAAGCAAUAACAUGAUAAUUCAAUUAAGGUUAGGAAUUUUUUUUUUAAUAUAAUUAAUAAAAAUUUCAGCAGAGUUUUCUUUAUAUUUUUAGAUAUCAAGAUAUUAACUUUUUUUCUGUAAUCCUCAAUAAUCAAAUUUUUUACUCGUUUUAUAAUUCAAGACUGAUUGUGUAAAGAUAGAUAUAGUGAUCGCAUAAAAUAUCUUACUAAACUCACAAUAAAUGUAAUAUUAGAUCAUGUUUGUGAUAAGUAAAUCAGCUCUCCCACUAACUUUUGAUACUGUGUUGUAUUCACACUAGAUCACCUUCCUUGUCAUCUUCAAGUUUCUGAUUGGGAUCUAUUGGAGUGUCUGCUAGCCUACAACCACUCAUCCCAGUCUCCUUAAGAACAUCAAGGACACACUGCUGCUGUUGGGAUAUAACGAUCCCCUUCUUCGACAGAACAAUCUCUAAUCCAAGAAAAUCCUUAAUCUCUAUUUCAAUGGCAUAUGGGUGAUUAUUAGAUUGAAAGGUUUUCCUUCUUUGAGAGAACCUUUUUUAAAGUGAAAUAAACACAACUUUCAGUUUAUACGUUGCUUGUAAGAAUAGCACAUAUGAGUAUGAUUUUGAGAUUUGAAAGAACUCCUUGUUUAAGAGGAAAUUGGACUUUGUCAUGUGAAAUGAACACCUUUUCAAUUUAUACCCUGCAGAAAAUGAACAUCUAAUUAUUUGUCUAGCAAAGUAGCUUCAGUUGAAGAUUGCCUGUCUCACUUGCAAUGCAUGUGGCACUGAUUUGUUGAAGAUUAUUACCAGCAGACGUCACAUCUGUUGCAUUUCUUCAUUCAGCUAACCCAGUCUCACAAAAUUUUCCCUGUGUUUAGAAAGUUUCACCAAAACAAUAAAGCUAAAAAUGUCAUUACAAUUUCCUAGUAGAUAUUCAACUUUGCUAUGAGUUUUCAAAACAUGAUAAAAAGAUUUCUAUUUUUUUAUUCUGUUCAAGCAACAUUGACAUGGCAAUAAGCUAGCAUUGCACUGUUAUGGAUCAUGGCGAUUUGAUUUGUUUUUCAAUUUACAAUUUAGUCAAAUUCAAAGAAAACUUACACACAAAAAAGGAAAUAACCUGUUCAAAAUCUAAUUAGAAAUAAACUUCAUUUUGAUAUAUGGAAACUGAUUAUAAUGAUAACAUGACCAUUGAAACCUAAAAACAUAAAUUUGUUAAUUAAGAAAUGCUAGGAAAACUUUUUUUUUUUUUUACUAAUAUUUGUUUAUCAAUAAAAAUAAAAGGCAUCUAAAGUUUUUGCCAUUUACAAAAUUUUACAACACAUUGAGCCAUGAAAGUUGCCUGUUUUGGAAUGAGUCUAGAGAGGUCUUUGAAAUUGCAGUGAGACCUGAUUUAAAAAAAAAAAAUUUAAUUUUAAAUUUAAUUUUUUAUAUUUUUAUAUACAUAUUGUAUCGGUAUUAUAAAUAAAAUUUAAAAAAUAUAUAAUAAAAAUUUUAAUCCAUUCAAAAAUAAUAAUAAUAAUAAUUACCACUAUCUUAUACCACAUCCACAUAGCAUCGGUUUUGCUUUGAAAACAACUUGGCGACUGAAUGGUGGUCUAGUUAAACGUAUUUUUCUAAUCAGUGAUUUUUCUUUUAAAUUCAAGACGGUUGGCAUGUACUUGUGCUUCGUUAUCUUAUUUAAUUUUUUAUUCUAUAGUAAAAAGGUAUUUUUUUUAUUAGUUUAUAUGUCAAUCAUGAUUGAGUUUUUUAUUCAAAUGAUUUUAAGGAUAAACAAUUUAAAGUUAUGAAUCAUCGAACAAUCCAUUUAAAGUUAUAUAAUUAUGUUGUGAUGUAUCUUAAAUCAAAUAAAAAUUAUACUAGAUUAUUAACAUUUUUUAAUAAAUAUAAAAGAAAUAUUCAAACAUUACUAAUAUAUUUUUAAACAAAAAAAAAUUUAAAUAAUAUGAGGGUUAAUUUGAUAUAAUUUGGUUGAUUUUACAAGUUUACAAGUAAUCUAUAUAACCCGAAAAAACAUAAUUUGAUUAAAAAAAAAUUUAAGAUGAUAUAUUUUUUUAAUAUUAAGAUAAAAAUAUAUUAAAUUAUUUUAUUAAAUUAAAUCCAAAAAAAGUGAGUUUUUUUAACAGAAGCAAGAAAAACAUUUUUUUGUAAUGAUUUAUGUGCACAUUAAAAUGUGUUUUAUAUACUUGAUUUGGUUCUUGAUCUAUAGUAAUGAACCGGCUUUAUUUAAAAAUUUCUCAAAAAAUAAAAUUGCGUUGAACAAAUUAAUAAAACUACGCUAUCUCUUCUUUUUUUAUAUAUAUUAAAUGAUUGGUUAAAGAUGAAAUAAAUAAUUCUAUAUUAUUUGUUUGUACGUAUUACUUUUAAGCAUAGACUCUUUUAUUUGGUGAUAUAUAUUUUUAUCUAUGUUGUUUGCCUUUUUUUUCUGUUGUGUUUUUAUUCAUUGACAAUCGAGGCUCAAGAUGUCAAUUGGAUUUUAUUUGUUGUGAGCCAAUCUUUUAUUUUUAAUGAGAUCAUGUAUUUUUAAAAUUCAUCUUGAUGUCUUACUAUGCAUUUACACAUCACUUUCCGCUUUUAGGAACUCUGAAAGUGGAUCCUCCACAACAACAACUGCAUUUUACAUUGAGAAUGAAUGGCCAAAAUUUAAAGAAUACAUAGUGGCUGUAGAAGAUGAGGAAUGGGAGGAGGAAAACAUAUGGGAAUUCACAAAAUUAAUAGAACAACACGAACAGGCUUGGAGGCCCGCUAAAGAGGAACUUGAAACCAUAAAUGUAGGCAAUGAAGAAAUCAAACGAGAGCUGAAGAUAGGGACUUUGAUCACCCCUGCAGCAAAGGAAGAGUUGAUUGCACUGCUCAAAGAUUAUGUGGAUGUCUUUGCCUGGUCCUACGAGGAUAUGCCUGGUUUGGAUACAGACAUUGUGGUACAUAAAAUACCACUGAUGGAAGGAUGCAAGCCGAUCAAACAGAAGUUAAGGAGAACUCAUCCAGAGAUCUUAAUCAAAGUAAAGGCGGAAAUUGAAAAACAAUGGGACGCCGGUUUUUUGGAAGUAGUGAAGUAUCCACAAUGGGUGUCAAAUAUAGUGGUGGUACCCAAAAAGGAAGGUAAAAUCAGAGUUUGCAUGGACUUUAGGGACUUAAACCGGGCUAGCCCUAAAGAUAAUUUCCCUUUACCACACAUAGAUAUGUUAGUUGAUAAUGCAGCACGCAGCUCCACAUAUUCUUUCAUGGAUGGGUUUUCAGGCUACAAUCAGAUAAGAAUGGCGCCAGAGGAUAGGGAGAAGACAACCUUUGUAACACCAUGGGGAACCUUUUGCUACAAAGUCAUGCCAUUUGGUUUAAAGAAUGCUGGGGCCACUUACCAAAGGGCUAUGGUGACUUUGUUUCACGACAUGAUGCACAAAGAGAUUGAAGUAUACGUGGAUGACAUGGUUGCUAAAUCUAAAGAGGGAGAGAAUCAUGUCCAAGUAUUGAAGAAAUUAUUUGAAAGAUUAAGGAAAUAUAAGUUGAGGCUUAACCCAGCAAAGUGUUCAUUCGGGGUGAAAUCCGGUAAGCUGUUGGGAUUUGUGGUGAGUGACAAAGGGAUAGAAGUGGAUCCUGAAAAAGUAAAAGCUAUUCAAUCUAUGCCACCCCCAAGACUGAGAAGGAGGUGAGAGGUUUCUUAGGAAGGUUGAAUUACAUCGCUCGGUUUAUAUCCCAUUUAACCGCGACUUGUGACCCGAUCUUUCGUUUGUUGAGGAAGAAGAACCCUGGAAUAUGGAAUGAAGAGUGUGAUAAAGCUUUUGAGAAAAUCAAGCAGUACUUGCUAAAUCCACCUCUGCUUGUUCCUCCCGUACCAGAAAGGCCAUUGAUUUUAUACCUAACAGUAACCGAAACAGCAAUGGGAUGUGUGCUUGGGCAACAUGAUGAAACCGGAAGGAAGGAAAGGGCCAUUUAUUACCUAAGCAAGAAGUUCACGGAAUAUGAGUCUAGGUAUACUGUGAUUGAGAAGCUGUUGUGCACUAGCAUGGGCUACAAAGAGAUUACGUCAGUAUAUGUUGUAUCACACUACAUGGUUAAUUUCCAAGUUAGACCCGUUAAGGUACAUUUGUGAAAAGCCUUAUCUAUCUAGCCGAAUUGCAAGAUGGCAAGUUCUUUUGGCUGAGUAUGACAUAGUAUAUAUGACAAGGAAAGCCGUGAAAGGGAGUGUUAUUGCCGAUCACCUGGCUGACCAUGCUAUGGAAGAUUAUGAGCCGUUAAACUUUGACUUUCCCGAUGAAGAUGUGUUUGCAAUCGAGGAAGAGAAAUCAGAUUGGUGGGUUAUGUACUUUGAUGGUGCUGUAAAUGUAUGUGGUAACGGAGCGGGGGCAGUGAUAAUCUCUCCUGAUAAGAAGCAGUAUCCGGUUUCAGUUAAGCUGCAGUUCGGGUGCACCAACAACACGGCUGAGUAUGAAGCUUGCAUUCUUGGUUUAGAGGCUGCAUUAGAGAUGAACAUAAAAAGAUAGAUGUGUAUGGAGAUCAAUGCUGAUCAUUUGCCAAGUAAAAGGAGAAUGGCAAACCAAAGAAGAGAAGUUAAGGCCUUACCAAGAAUACCUGUCUAAGCUGCUAAAGAAUUUGAGGAAAUAGAGUUCACCCAUCUGGGAAGGGAAGGGAACCAGUUUGCAGAUGCUUUGGCCACACUAGCAUCUAUGGCCAAGAUAGACUUUGGGCACAAGGUACAGCCAGUACACAUCAAUAUCAGAAAUAACCCCGCUCAUUGUUGCUCAGUCGAAAGAGAAGUGGAUGGAAACCCGUGGUACUAUGAUAUCAAGAAUUUCAUCCAAAACCAGGCAUAUCCCAUGGGGGCAUCCAAAAUCGACAAGAAGACCUUGAGAAGGUUGGCAAUGGAUUUUUAUCUUGAUGGGGAGAUUUUGUAUAAGAAAUCAUCUGACGGGACUUUGUUGAGAUGUUUGGAUGAAUUUGAGGCAAAAAGCACAGUACGGGAAGUCCAUGAAGGGAUUUGCUCAACUCAUGCUAGUGGACAUGUGAUGGCCAGGAAGAUACAAAGAGCCGGGUACUUCUGGAUGACGUUAGAGAAGGAUUGUAUCGAUUAUGUCCGGAAAUGUCAUAAGUGCCAAGUAUACAGUGACAAAAUCAAUGCUCCUCCGGCUCCUCUGUUUAAUUUAACAUCUCCAUGGCCUUCGCGAUGUGGGGAAUUGAUGUGAUUGGACCGGUAAACCCAAAAGCCAGCAAUGGUCAUAGGUUUAUUCUCGUGGCUAUCGACUACUUCACAAAAUGGGUAGAAGCUGGGUCAUUUGCUCAUGUGACGCAAAAAGUGGUGAAGAAAUUUAUUGAGAGAGAUUUGAUAUGUCGGUAUGGUCCACCAGAAAAGAUUAUAACUGAUAACGCCCAGAAUUUCAACGGCAAGAUGAUAAUAGAGCUCUGCACUAAAUGGAAAAUCAAGCAUUCCAAUUCUUCGCCAUAUAGACCAAAGAUGAAUGGUGCGGUAGAAGCUGCUAACAAGAAUGUCAAAAAGAUUAUUCAGAAGAUGGUAGUCACCUAUAAGGAUUGGCAUGAGAUGUUGCCAUUUGCCCUUCAUGCAUAUCGCACCGCAGUUCGAACCUCAACAGGAGCCACCCCGUAUAUGUUGGUAUAUGGAAUGGAGGCGGUGAUGCCUUUAGAAGUGGAAAUCCCAUCAUUGAGAGUGUUGUUAGACUCUGAGCUGGAAGAGGUAGAAUGGGCAAAGGUUAGAUAUGAACAGUUGAAUCUGAUCAGUGAAAAGAGGAUAGCCGCGAUCUGUCAUCAUCAACUCUACCAAAGAAGGAUGGCUAAAUCAUAUGACAAGAAGGUUCGACCUCGAGGAUUCCACGAAGGAGAUCUUGUACUAAAGAAAAUAUUACCUUUACCUGGAGAAGAUCAGAGUAAAUGGGCACCUAACUACGAGGGGCCUUACGUGGUGAGGAAAGCAUUCUCAGGAGGAGCUUUGUUACUGUCUAGAAUGGAUGGAGAAGAUCUAGUUAGGCCUGUGAAUUCUGACUCUGUAAAGAAAUACUACGCUUGAUGUAUUUCGUAAUUUCCCAGUCAAUAAAAUAAAUUUCGGCCAUGAAUUCUCUUUGUAAAGAGUCCUUUUAUAUAUAUAUAUAUAUAUAUAUAUAUAUAUAUCAUAUGAUCUCAUAGCAUUUGAAAUCUUUUGUUUAAAAGAACUUUUUAUGGCAUGACUAAGAAAAUGACUCCAUCAAUUGGAGAACCAAAUCAAAUCUACUUGACAUAUAGUUGCACAUCACACUAGGGGGCAAAAGGUGCACGAAGUGCACAUAAGGGUCUAUAGUAAACCCAAGCCCAAAAGGGGUAUCAUAAUAAAAACUUCUAAAAAAGCAUCUUUUAUAAGAUUUGCUAAUUGCAUUAAAAGUUUCAGUUUUCAUGAACAAAACCAAUUUUUUCCUUUGGCACAAAACUCAAUGGAGCAAGAAAGGGCCCCAUGAGAAAAGCUUGAAACAAGAGCGAAGAGGUUUACGACGAAAGGGGGACCUAUGUUUCCAAGAUAGGUAACAAAAACAUACAUGCAUAUUAACCAUAAUACAUUGCUUUCAACAUUUGUCAGAUCGGGAUUUCAUCACCAUUUCUCAGGUAGCGCGUUUUCUAAACCCUAUCUCUUUUCGAGUGCGUUGUAUGAGCCCUCACUUUUUGGGUAGUGCGUUUUCUAACCCUAUCUCUUUUCGAGUGCGCUGUUUGAGCCCUCACUUCUUGGGUAGUGCAUUUUCUAACCCUACCUCUUUUUCGAGUGCGCUGUUUGAGCCCUCAUUUCUCAGGUAGUGCGUUUUCUAAAACCCUACCUCAUUUCGAGUGCGCCUUUGAGCCCUCACCAACAUUUUCUGGGUAGGUCACCCAUUACAACGCGACCAUUUUUUCCAAUUUUUUUUUUACUUGGGCAGGUCACCCAUAAGAAUGAGGCCAUUCCUUCCCCUGGGUAGGUCACCCAAAGAAUGAGACCACACUUUCUUUUUCCUUGGGUAGGUCACCCAUCACAAUGAGACCAUGUUUUUUUUUUGGGUAGGUCACCCAUCACAAUGAGACCAUUCUCCAUCUUUUUUUACCUGGGUAGGUCACCCAUAAGAAUGAGGCCAUUCCUUCCCCUGGGUAGGUCACCCAAAGAAUGAGACCACUCUUCCUUUUUCCUUGGGUAGGUCACCCAUCACAAUAAGACCAUAUUUUUUCUGGGUAGGUCACCCAUAAGAAUGAGACCAUUCUCCAUUUUUUAUUUAUCUGGGUAGGUCACCCAUAAGAAUGAGGUCAUUCCUUCCCCUGGGUAGGUCACCCAAAGAAUGAGACCACUCUUUCUCUUUUCCACUCGGGCAGGUCACCCAUCAUAAUGAGACCACACACACAUUUUUUGUAUUGGUUAUGAGUAAAGGAAUCGCCGGAUGGGAUUCCAGGUUAAAGGAGAUCACCAGAUGGGAUCUCGGAUGGAUUUCCAUGAUUGAUAAAACUAAAGUAAGAAUUCAGAGGAUCGAUGGAUAAGGAUCUCGAUAUAACUAAGUUUUGAUCAUAGUUUUUGGGCUAAGGAGGUUUGUUGUAAAAGACAAAGUUUCAGAUCAAUUAAGCUUCGAACAGAUUAGUUUCGGGAGUUCCGUUUUGGGUUUAUCUUUAUAACACUUACUGCGCAAAACCCAUGCUCCGUAAGUAUUAUAAAGAGGGGGCAUCUGUUGUAACCCAUUUUUGGGUCCCCAUAAAAAAUAAAAUAAAUAGCCAAAAGAGUUUAGAAAAAAUAACAGGAGGCAGAAGCGCUCAGGAAACAGUCAGAAAAUUGGUCAAGGAAUUUAAAAAUACAAGGAUUGAAUUUUUUACAGUAUAUUCUUGAAGGAUGAAAGCCCUAUUGAGAAGGAAAAAUUUGAAUUUUGAGGAGAAAAGCCCAAAUUUGGAUGUUUAUGGACUUAAUUGGAUUUUAUAUGAUUUAUAGAAGAUUUGAUUGCAAGAAAAAUUGAUUUUUAAGUCAAUUUGGGCUUAAUUUGAAGAAAUUUAAGUUCUGGGGCCAAAUAUAUUUUUUUAGGGUCAAAUCAGGGGCUUAAUUGCAUAAAUAUUGAAGUUUAAUGGCCAAUUAGGGACUUAAUUGUGAAAUCCGAAACCAGGGACCAAUUUGGAGAAGGCGCAAAGAUAGAGGGGCUGUUGGUUGUUUCAGGGCUUAAUUGAAGAAUUGGAAGUUUAUUGAUCAAUUAAGGGCUUAAUUAUGAAAAUCAGAGGCCAAGGACCAAAGUGAAAACGCGGCCAACUAUAGAGGUAGGGACCGAAUUUGGCAGGGACGCAAUUGAAUUUUAUUCUUGAUUGAAGGACUCGAUUGAAGGACUUAAUAGAAAAAUGACAAAUUAGGGACUGAUUUAAAAACAAAGUUUCUCUGGCGCCUUUAUUUUAAAAUGAAACGGCGCGUUUUGUCCAAAACGACGCCGUUAUGCAUAAAUAAAAAAAAAAAAAAAAAAGAGACCGAACGGUGCCGUUUUGAACGGCACUGUUCACUGUCUUCUUCCCCCCCGAAGAUUACAGCGGGGAAGAAGGAAAAGUUUGUAUUUUUUUUGCAGGUCCCUCUUGCCACCGACCGAGGCCCCACGCCGGUGGGCCACCGACAGAAAACAAUGGCCGACAACCUGCCUCGUUGCCGAAGCCGAGGGAGGCCCGCCGCUCCUCGACCCGCUCCGGGGCUCCACGUUGAAGUCACGCCAUGGUUCUAUAAAUAGAGAACCGAAAGGGAGAACAAGGGACGAACGAAAAAAAAAAAAGAAAGGAGAGGAACCCCGAAACAAAAAAAAAACGAAGAGAGAGAGGAAGAGAGAGAAACACUGUAACAGAGGAGAGAGAGCCACUGAAAACCCAAGAAAACCGAGAGCAAAGGGAGGUUUGAAGCCGGGAGGGAAUUUAAGAAAACAAAACCAACCCAACGAGCCGAGAGGACGUCGCCGGGCCACUUGGAAUUCGCCGUGAGAAGCCGCCGUCCGUGAAGCUAGGACACUGCCACCACCACCGCAGCCCCGCCAGCAAACCACCUCCUCCACCGCACCAGGUACGCCUCCUUUCCUCCCCCUGCAUUUUUUUUAAUCUAUAUCAGUUUUGCCUCCUGCAUGCAGGAGGCGGGGGGGGGGGAAUAAUUCCCCCCCCCCCCGUGCUCUUUUUUUUAUUUCUCUGGGACAGAUUGUGUCUGGCCCAGACCGAGGUUAAUUAGUUUGUUGGGCCGAGAUCGGCCCAGUCCCUGUUGGGCCGAGAUCGGCCCAACGACUUUUGGGGCUGGGUCCGGCCCAGUUUAGUUGGGCCGGCCCAGCCCCUUUUAAAUAUAUAAAUAUAUUAUAAUUAUAUUAUAUUAUUAUUAUUAUUAUAUGUGUGUGUAUAUAUAUAUAUAUGUUUUUUUUUGAAAAAAAUUUGAAAAAUCUAAAAAAAAUUGUUGUUAUUUUCUUUUCAUAUAAAUAUAUUUUUGUUUUAUACAUUUGGUUUGUAUUUUUAUACUGUAAAGAUACAAAACCAGUGUUAAAAAUACCCGGUUCUCGUCAAAACAUCAAAGAUUUUUCAUAAUAAAAAAUGUUUUUGCUUUCAAAAAAAUUCUAAAAGGUCCCUAAAAAUAUUGUUGAUUUUUCUGCAUAUUUUUAUCAAAGCGGAUUAAUAUUGGGUUGUAUUUUUAUACCGUAAGGAUACAAGCUCAGUAUUAAAAUACUCGAUUUUCAUCAAAGCAUAAAAAAAAAAUAUAUUUUCCAAAAAUUGUUUUUUUUUGUUUUAAAAUACGGCCUAGUCUCUCCAAUAUAUAUAUAUAUAAAUAUUAUAACAUCAUAUUUUCACACAACGAAGAAAAUUUUCAAAACAAUAUAUGUAUUAACAUGUAUUUUGGCUUUAAUAACCAGUUUAUUCAAGCCAUGAGAACUAGGCCAAUAUUUCAAAAAUUCUAAAAAAUCUUUUUUGUUUUCUUUUAGUAUUUGGGAUUACGAAUUUAUACAUAAAACGUAUUCCUAAAUAUUAUUAAUAAAGUUUUGGGUAUAGACGUUAGAACGGUUAGGAUUUUACCCGAUAAGAUAAAAGACCUUCUUACCGAGGAGGAUUUUUCUUGAACCAUAGACAGACCAACGACUAGAAGUAUAAUAACACUUUAGUUUUUAUCAGACAAUAAAACAAUGCAGCUUACCUUAGGUAGGGCGUAUUUGGGGUGCUAAUACCUUCCCUUUACGCAACCAGUCUCCGUACCCGAUCUCUGAGACCAGUUAGGGUUCCUAGUGACCAAAAUACUAGAUGGCGACUCCAAAAAAUCAAACCAAAUAAAAAAAUUCGCCAGUCGAACCCGCAAUUGAAAAAUUGGUUUUUUUUAGGGUGCAACACUUUUUAUCAGAUCUUGUGAAAAUACUGGUUUAUUAUUUCUUGUUCUCGUAUAACAGUAGAGGGUUAUAUAUAUACAAAGCCUAGAAAGCUAUUUUAGGAAUAUUACUACGGGCCUAUAAUCUUGCAGAAUUAAAUACAAUGAAUCAAACUAAUUAGGAAUACACAGCUCAUUGACACUCCCCCUCAAGUUGGAGCAUAUAUGUUGCUCAUGCCCAACUUGCUAAGUGAGUUGUGAAAUACUUUGCCUGUGACAACUUUGGUGAGGACAUCUGCAAGUUGAUCUUUGGAUUUAACAAAGGACACCUCGAUGAUCUUUGCCUCGAGUUUUUCCUUGAUGAAAUGUCUAUCAACUUCAACAUGUUUGGUUCUAUCAUGUUGUACUGGAUUAUGUGCAAUAUCUAUUGCAGCUUUGUUGUCACAAUUCAAUUGCAUGGCAUGAUUGGGUUUGAACCCCAAUUCCCCUAAUAAAUUCCUUAUCCAGAGUAGCUCACAUACUUCGUGUGCCAUACCUCGAUAUUCUGCUUCAGCACUUGAUCUUGACACUACGUUCUGUUUUUUACUUCGCCAAGAUACUAGAUUGCCUCCCACAAAGGUAAAAUAUCCAGAUGUAGAUCGUCUGUCAGUAAUAGAGCCUGCCCAGUCUGCAUCGGUGUGACCCUCGAUAUCUAAAUGACCAUGUCGUGAGAACAUCAAUCCUCUUCCAGGAGCUGACUUCAAGUAUCUCAGAAUUCGGUUUACUGCAUCCAUGUAGGCUUCACUUGGUGCAUGCAUGAACUGACUUACCACACUUACAGCAUAUGCUAUAUCAGGUCUAGUGUGUCCCAAAUAAAUCAACUUACCUACAAGGCGUUGAUAUCUUCCUUUGUUGGUGGGUACCUGAUUAGGAUAUUCACCAAGUUGAUGAUUCAACUCCAUUGGCGUGUCUGCUGGUUUACUAGCUAACAUUCCAGUGUCAGUUAAAAUAUCAAGGAUAUAUUUCCGUUGUGAUAGAAAUAUUCCUUGUUUAGAACGAGCCACUUCGAUGCCUAAAAAAUACUUUAGAGCACCAAGAUCUUUCAUUUCAAACUCACUUGCCAAGUGCCGCUGCAGUGCUGCCUUUUCCUCCGGGUCAUUCCCUGUAACUACCAUAUCAUCAACAUAUACAAUAAGGGCAGUGACUUUACCUUUCUUAUGUUUCAAGAAAAGUGUAUGAUCUGAGUUACUUUGCUUGUAUCCGAACCCUUUCAUUGACUUGCUGAACUUUCCAAACCAUGCUCUAGGUGAUUGUUUCAAUCCAUAAAGAUACUUUCUUAGUUUACACACCAUGUUGCCUUUAUCAGGUCCCAUCUUGCAUCCCGGAGGGGGAUCCAUAUAGACUUCCUCUUCUAGAUCACCAUGCAAAAAUGCAUUUUUGACAUCAAACUGGUGUAAUGGCCAAUCUAGGUUUGCUGCCAGAGAAAGAAGUACUCGAAUUGUGUUAAUCUUGGCUACAGGAGCAAAUGUCUCCCCAUAAUCAAUCCCAUAAGUCUGAGUGUAUCCUUUCGCCACCAAUCUUGCUUUGUAUCGCUCAAUGGAGCCAUCUGCCUUGAACUUUACUGUAUAUAUCCAUCUACAACCCACUGUUCUCUUUCCUUUUGGAAGGAUAGUCAUCUCCCAAGUGGAAUUCUUCUGAAGGGACUCCAUUUCAUCAUUCAUUGCUUGGGACCACUUGGGAUCUUUCAAAGCUUCCUGCACAUUACUUGGAAUAGAUACAGUGGAUAAUUGACAUACAAAUGAUGCACAUGACAGAGAUAGCCUAUGUAGGGACACAUGAUUAGCAAUAGGGUAUUUAACAUUUGUUUUAAGGUCAGGGUCAUAUUGUUGUCUAGGAAUACCUCUAGUCGUACGAGGAGGUAGUUGAUAACUUGUGUUUCCUGUAUUACUUGACUCAGGUAGAGUGAUUGAGUUGGAGUUUGAAUGUUUAAUUACCUGUGGGAAAUCAUCAGGACCUGAUUGGAUGUAUGGUGAUGGUACUGUAGUAGGAGUUGUAGAGGGGAAAUUAUCUGAACUAGUACCAGCAUCUGGAGUUCUUAGUGACUCUUGAUCUUGUUGCACCACUAUAACUAGUUGUUCGGAAUCUGAUUGCUCAGUACCAGCAUCUAGAGUUCUUAGUAACUCCUAUUCUUGUUGCACCAUUGUAACUGGUUGUUCAGACACCGACUGCUCUAAAACCUUUUGUUGAAUUUGGAUCUGAGUAUCUUUUGCAAAGAUAGAGCUCUCCCCCUACAGAGGAUGCUUAGAGACUCCCCCUGAGUAAUAGAACUCACUCUCGUGGAAAGUCACAUCUGCAGUAAUGUGCAAGGUUUGAGUAGGAGGAUGGAAACAUUUAUAGCCCUUCUGAGUAUCAGCAUAACCCACAAAGACACAACGCAGAGCACAUGGAUCAAGCUUGCCACGUUGGUGUGGAUAUAACUGAACAUAAACAACACAUCCAAAGAUACAUGGUUCGAGAUUUGGUGUAGAUGGCAUGGUGGGGAGAGUGGUCAAUGUCUGAAAUGGAGUUUUAUACUGAAGAGUGCUAGAUGGUGUUCUAUUAAUGAGGUAAGCAGCAGAACAAAGAGCCUCCCCCAAAAAAUAAUGAGGUAAACUGGCCUCAAAUAAAGAGGCACGAACAACUUCCAAGAGAUGUCGAUUAUUACGCUCUGCGACACCAUUCUGUUGUGGUGUAUAUGCACAUGUGGUGUGAUGAACAAUACCAUGUUGACUUAAAAAAUUAUGAAGGUCAUUGUUGACAUAUUCUCCUCCAUUGUCAGACCGGAGGGUCAUGAUUUUCUUGUCAAACUGAGUAGCAACAUAUUGAUAAAAUAGUUUGAAUUUGAUGGUAACUUCACUUUUCUGUCUUAAAAGAAACACCCAGGUCAUCCGAGUGCAAUCAUCAAUAAACGUCAUAAACCACUUAUAACCAGUAAUAGUAGGAACUCGUGAUGGUCCCCAAACAUCAGAAUGAACAAUCAUGAAAGGCAUGGAACUUUUAUUCAACCUUAAUGGGUAAGAAAUGCGAUGACUUUUCGCCAAAAUGCAAGUUUCACAAUGAAAGUCUGAUUCAAUAAACUGAGAAAACAAAUCUGGAAAUAGAAGUUUCAGAUAACCAAACGAGGCAUGCCCUAAUCGUCGAUGCCAUAACCAAAUUUUCUUCAUUCUGAUGGACUCACCUCCUCUCACAUGAUGUGCAUGACUCAAUCUCUUAGUUAUGUCAUCUGUCAAGUCCAGAUAAUAUAAUUUUCCCCUCCUAGUACCACAUUCAAUCACGGCCUUGCUGAGAAGAUCCUGAAAUAGACAAUAUAAUGGCCAAAAACACACGGUGCAAUUAAGGGAAUCAAUGAUCUGAGGAACAGAUAACAAGUCAUAGUCCAGUGAAGGGACAACUAAGACAUGAUCAAGACUUAAUGAGGAUGUGAGAGAUAAGGACCCUUCUCUCAUAACUCGGGAGGUGGUGCCAUUGGUACUAACAAUAUGUGUUUGGCUGGAAGGUGUGGCAGAGUGUAACCCAAUAAAACUAGAUGUCAUGUGAUUAGUGGCACCAAUGUCAAUAAUCCAUGAUCUAUUACAAGUAAGUGAAGAUGUGCAAGAGUUACCUGAGGUGGCCAAGGCCUUGGAGUCAGUUGUACCUGAUGGAGUUUCUAAUGUAGUCUCCUGAGAUGAUUGGGCAGAUGCAAAUGAUGCUCGGUUUGAGUCCCUCUUGCGCCUUUUGUGAACCCAUCCUUCUGGAUAACCAAUGAUCUCAUAACAGCCCUUAAUUGUGUGAUUAUCUAAACCACAUUUGGUAUAUUUCAUUGGUGGUCGGUUACGAGCAGGGUCAACGUUAUAGCUAUGCAGCCGAGAUUGUUUUACCCUUGCACCAGCCAAGGCUGUGGCUGCGUUGGUUGCACCAGCUUCAGACAUGGUUCCUUGUUUGUUACUUUCCCUUUUAAUAUGUGCGUAUGCACCCUCAAGUUCUGGUUUAGGCUCCAUCCUCAAAAUCUCUCCUCGAAUUUCAUCAAAAUUAUUGUCUAAACCUGCAAGAAAUAUGUAAACUCGAAGACGAUCAACCUCUUUCCGUCUAAUUUCAAUGUCUGAUGGAUGCUCCAUUGUGCUUGGAUUUAAUUGAUCAAGCUCCUGAAAAAUCUCAGUAAGCUCACUGUAAUACUUGGCAACUGAUGCACCAGCUUGUCUCAUUAUGAAUGAUCUUCUGUGCAGGUCAUAAAUCUUAGCUUCAUCAGCACCAUCUGAAUAGGUUUGCUUGAUUGCAUCCCAGACUUGCUUUGCUGUGUCAUAACGAAUAAACCUUUUAAUUUGAUUAGGCUGCAUGGCAUCAAACAACCAACUCUUGACUUGGCAGUCUGAUGCUCGCCAUUUAUUAAAUGUGGAAUUUGUGACUGCAGGCUGGGCAAUAUCACCAGUCAGAUGGCCAUGCUUUUCUCGCCCAGCUAUCUUCAUCUCUAUGAUUUGAUGCCAUAAAGAAUAGUUAUUCUCAUCAAGUUUUAUUCCUGCAGAGAAGUUGGAGGUGUCACUCUGCAAUGUGACUAUUUGUGUGGUAGUGUUGGAGUCUCCUGACAUGAAAGAUUGAUUAGUGUUUGUUGAACAAUCAUCAUCGGCCAUGAUAUUGGCUUACAAGUGAUGAGAGAAAGGAGAAAGAACAGAGUAAUUUGACUAAUGUAACAAAAAAAAAAAGAGCAAGUAGAGUAAUUUGGUUGAGGGAACGGUGAAAGGUGAUUUAGUAUUUCUUUUGACUUGUGGGUUGGAAUGUGAAUAAUCUGACUGUGUGGAUGAUGGUUGCUGCUGCGAAGGGUUCUGUUGGGUUUGUAUGACGGCUGCUGUUGCGGAAACGAUUUAUAAAAUUAGGGCAAGAGACAGUCAAGAUCGACUGCUCUGAUACCAUAUCAGAUCUUGUGAAAAUACUGGUUUAUUAUUUCUUGUUCUCGUAUAACAGCAGAGGGUUAUAUAUAUACAAAGCCUAGAAAGCUAUUUUAGAAAUAUUACUACGGGCCUAUAAUCCUGCAGAAUUAGAUACAAUGAAUCAAACUAAUUAGGAAUACACAGCUCAUUGACACUUUUCAACCGGGUUUUUUGGAAGUUGAUAGUCAGGCACAUCAUUUUGCCCACAAGGAUCACCCAUUGAUUUUGAAUGAAGAGCAAGAAUAUCAUGGUGAAGGAGUAAAGUGCUUCGUGUGCACGGAACCAAUGUCUGGUCCUAGCUAUAGUUGCAUUUCUCGCAACUUGUUUCUUCACAAGAAGUGUGCUGAGCUACCCCCGGAGAUCAAGAGGCACAUUCAUCCAGAACACCCUCUUCGUCUACUGCCAAAUCAUGAUACGAUGUGUGAUUUUUGCAACGAAACUUGCUAUGAGAGUUUUGUUUACUGCUGUCUUGUGUGCGAAUUCAACCUCCAUAUCAAAUGUGCUUUUCCACCGUGCGUUUAUGCAGCUGAUCAGGAUCAAAGGCAUCUAUUUAGACGCCUACUGAAUCCACUUUCAUUCAAAUCAAUCUCCUUCACCUGCAAUGCAUGUGGCACAGAUGGAGAUGGCUCCCCUUUCAUGUGCACCUUGUGCCAUCUCGUGGUCCACGAAGAAUGCAUUUCAUUGCACUGCACCAUCAUCCCCAAAUCAUCCACACAUAUCAACUUCAACAAUGCAUCGAAUCUAUAAACAGGUACUGUUGAAUUUGCCUUCGGGAAGUUGACUCAAAUUACGGAGUUUACUAUUGCCCGGACUGUGACUUCGUUGCACACGUGAAUUGUAGUAGAGAAUAUGGGGAUUCUGCAACAGAGAUUGUGGUAGAAAACGAAGAAGAGCAAAGUGUGGCUGUUGAUGAUCAAUCCAUGGAACCUAGCUUUCGCGUUGUCCGUGAGAUCAAGCAUGGAGAAGAGAGAAUAAUUGAAGAGAUCAAACAUUUCAGUCAUCAACAUAACCUAAUCCUUAUUGACAAGGUUGAUGAUGAUCUAAAGUGUGAUGGGUGCAUGUUACCAAUCUCAACUGACAAAACCUGCUUAGAAUUACCAGGCGAAAAAAGUGGCAAUAUCACGAAAACCAACUGAUUCUUUUAUAUAACCUAUGGGAACAUGAUCUGUACAAGUGUAGUGUGUGCAAGCAAUAUUUUCGUGGGCUCAGCUACUGUUGUGUUAUAUGUGGACUCUGGAUUGAUGUCCAAUGCUUCAAAUCAUUGAAAGAUUCUUUUAAACACAGAGGUCAUGAUGAGCAUCCCCUUUAUCUUCCAGCGGGCAGAAAGAGUAUUCUCCAUUGCGAUAUUGGAGGUCGCGGGGCUCCCCCUUGGCUUGCAGAUGACGGAGAGAAUAUUCCCCAUUGCAGUGGCUGUUGUCACCGAAGAAUCAAAGGUAUUUUUUAAAUGUGCGGUUUGCGAUUUCAAGCUGGGUAUAAAAUGUGCUACACUGCCAUACAUAGCAAGACACGAGUAUGAUGACCAUCCUCUCUUCCUCACCUACAUUAAUGAAAAUGACUACCAGCCUUCCUGCUUAAUUUGUGAAAAAGAUAGAGACCCCAAGCUCUGGUUCUACCGUUGUGAGGAAUGCGACUUCGAUGCUCAUCCAGAAUGUGCUCUCGGGAAAUACACAUAUUUCAAGGCAGGGGGGGUUCGAACAUAUCCUAAACACCCUCACCCUCUUGCUUUGGUCGUCAAGACAGAGGAUUAUGCAGCAUGCGAUAUCUGUGGUGAGCCUUGCGAUGACUUGGCCCUUGAAUGUACUGAUCAUAACUGCAGUUUUAUCGUCCACAGGAAAAGAAGGCAAUGCUGGAUGCCAUUAUGGUAAUUGGAUUGCAGUUGUUGGCUUUUUUCUUAUUUUUGGGUUAUGAUUGUUGGCAGUUGCUAGACAGAGGAUUAUUAUCUCUGUUUCUUUUUACGCGUAUGAGAUCGCUUUUUUUUGUCUGAGCAAUGGAUGCUAUUUUAUUAAAAUUGGAAAUGAAAUAUUUUAUUUUAAUAAAAAUAAUUGGUAGUUUGUUGUUUCUUUGAGCCUUCGUAGUGACAAAGAUGCAAGAGCCACCAUUUGUUUUAGCUUAGCAGGAAGCUCUCGAUCCUCUCCAUAAAUUCCGCUUUUACAUAUUGCUUCCUGAAGUUCAGGAAACAACACGGUAUUGGUGACGCGGUCUCUAAUAAUAAAUAAAUGUAUUUAAAUAAUAUUUAAAACAAAUACCUUAGGAGCAUUCGACAGCUUUGUCCUUUAAUAAGAUAUAAUAGUUUUGAUAUCCGUGCAAUGUUGCGGGUCAAUUUUUUAUAUAAAAAAUAAAUAAAAAUUUAAAAAUCUUGGGUUUUUCUGCAAAGUUAUACCCAAGAAUCUUGGGUUUGGCUGCAACGUCUGACCUAAGAGUAAUAUUUAUAAUAUUAAUAAUAAAAUUUAACUUGCAUGACCCAAAUUUAAGUGAGCCUGACUGUAACACCGGACCCAAGAAUAUUGGAUCUGGAUUUGGCUAUAAGGUCGUGUAAUUAAAAUUUUGAUAAUUAAAUAGAUUAAUUAGAAAAAAGAAAAAAAUCAACAGAAAGGAAAAAACUAAUGAAGAAAAAGAAAAAAAAAUUAAAUUAAUUGGGUUAACCCUUUAAACCAGGUUAUCCCAUAAAACCUGGGAUUUGCGUCAUGAAAGUUUGAUAACUAAAUAGAAAAAAACAAUGACGGGUUUACCCAGAAUUAACCGAGUUAACCCCUCAAACCAAGUUAACCCAUCAAGCUCAGGAUACGUGUCAUGAAAAUCUGAUAAUUAAAUAGAAAGAAAAUUAACUUUAACAAACUAAACUAAAUGAAAAAAAUAAUUCGUCAAAUCAGGUUAACCCAUCAAACCCGAGAUUCGUAUCAUAAAAAUAUGAUAACGAAAUAAAAAAAAUUAACAUUAACAAACUAAAUCAAACAAAAAAAAUUAUUUAAAAAAAAUUAAAAAGAAAAAACAAAAGAAAAAAACAGUCAUAUAAUAUAAUACAAUAUAAUAAUAAUUAUAAUGAAAAAACGUAAGGAAAGCUAAAGCUUAAUUCUGAAUCAACUCAAUAUUAAAAAAUAAAUUUAAUAAAGAUAAUUUAAAAAAUAAACAUGUGGAGGAAACACUGCAGCCAAACAAAAAUCAUGUAAGGGAAACACUGUAGUAAUCCACAGUGUUUUUUUUUUUAAAAAAAAGCUACAAAGCCAAGUUCUCAACCAACUUAAUAUAUAUAAAAAACCGAGAUCCGUGUAAUAAAAGUAUGAUAACUGAAUUAAUUUUUUUUUUUCACAUUAACAAACUAAAUUGAACAAAAAAAAUUCAUUAAAAGAAAAAAAAACACAAAGAAAAAAGCAAAAAAAAAAACCCAUGGGCAAAGUUGCUACAGUGAAAAACCCACGCGUUUAAAAAAAAAAAUCUACUAUAGUGAAAAACCCAUGUGUUAAAAAAAAACAUGUACAAAAAAAUAAAAAGAAAAAAAAAGCUGCUAUAGUUAAAAAACAUUUUUAAAAAAAGAAAAACUGCUACAGAAAAAAAAAACUAAAAACGAAAAAAAAAAGCCACGGAAGAAAAAACUGCAAAAAAAAACUUUAGCUACAGUGAAAAAGCUAUGCAUUUUAGAGUUCUUAUUAACCUUUCAAACCAGGAUAACCCUUCAAACAUUAGAUUCGCGUUAUGAAAGUUUAAUAACUAAAUAGAAAAAAAAAUUAACAGAUUAACCCAUAAUUAACUGGGUUAACCUGUCAAGCUUGGAAUACGUGUCAUGAAAGUCUGAUAAUUAAAUUGAAAGAAAUUUAACAUUAACAAACUAAACUAAAUGAAAAAAUUAAUUAAAAAAAAAUAUCUAGUUAACUCUAAUAUAAAAUACUUACGCCUAUAGAUUUUUAACGUUUAGGUACCUCUAAUGUAAAAUACUUACACCCAUAGGCAAAUGAGUAAUAUAGGAAGUUGAGGAAACCCAGCAAAAGUCAACGAGUCUUCUUCUCCAAGAAAAGAGGGGAAAGUGUCUUCUUAUGCACAUACUUGAACAACCUCAUCCGCACAAAUAGAGGAGCCUGUAGCUUUCCUCGUGAUCUUCUACCCACCUCUUCCUUACGGGUAACACGCUUCCUUCCUUUUCGGGUUUCUUUGAAUCUUGGGUCCUUUGAGUUAUUUUUCGUUUCGGCUCUGUGUUCCAUAAUCUUUGAUAAAGGGGAAGAGGGAAGAAAAAUGCUUCCCCAGCAAUUUACAAAGUUCCCAUCUUUAUGGUAAUUCACUGUGUUCUGUGAUCUCAAUUGUUGAUCAGUACUGUAGCAGUAAGCAGCUGAAUUUAUUUAAUUAGCCGUCGGAGAAGAGGUCAAUUUUCAGGUUAGAAGGUGAGGAGUUGAAUACUAGGAGGAGAAGAUAAUAUGGAGUUCAAAACUUAAUAUAUAGUCCAAGACUAUUAGGGCACGCCCUGUCAGUCUUUCAGUAAUAAUUAUCGUUGAAUGACUGUCCUCCUCAGUUUAGAACACCAAGUUAUCUCCAUGUAUCUAUCUCUCUUUGUUUCUUGAUGAAAUUCGGUAGACUUGCAGGAUGGUGCUUCCGCGAUGUAUAUGUCGUUGGUUUUCCAUAUCUUUUGCACUAGGAAAGCCAUAUAUGGGCUAGGGUUAGGUAUAGAGCCAUGACUAAAUGUUCUGAGGCUGUAAACACUUGAAAAUAACAUCUGCAAUAUAGUACACCCUUGGGCAUGUGGGAUUUGUUUUUGGUCUAGGGACUUUGAACAUUAUUGGAGGCACAAAUUUAAUACAUGAUGUGUACCUCUGAAGCAGAAUCUUUAUCUUUGAUUAUGAUCUAUAAAGUAAGAGUUGUCAAUUGCUCUCUUGCACGCAUGCAACCGUCAAUGGUCCCAGAUUGAAUAACACAUGUAACAGUCAAUGCUUCAAGGAUGAUGAUAUCUAAAGGCAAGCGAUCUCCGUGUUCUGUUCUUUGUGGAGUCAGAUUGAACACAAGAUUGCCAUCCGAGACUUCAUUUUCAAUCUGUUUCGUGAACUGUAAAUGCUUGAUGAAUGAUUGAAAUCAUGCUUGAACUUGACAACUCCAUUGUUUAGUCACUUUCCAGAUCAUGCAUCUAGAGAUUGUUAUGUUUUUCCUGCUUACUGCUUUCUCUGAGUCCUAACAGUAAUCGAACUGAGUCAACUCCUCCUCCUUGCACAGACUGUGUUAGCCGGUUGACUAACUGAGGCAGUAUCUGGAUUGCAGGAGUUUUCAUACAAUUAAUUAGAUUUUUAAUUUCUUGUGAUAUAUAGUAUGGCGUACUAAACAUGUUAUUCACUAUUGAUGUGUAUUUGGAAUUGAAAAAGGGUUAGUGAUUUCUAAUUGUUCAUCCUUAUGCAGGAGAUAGAACUGUAGUAGCUUUCAUGUAAUCAUGAUCUUUCUUUUAAUAGUUUAUUUACAUAAUAUAUUAUGGUGAUAUAUAGUUAAAUUUUAAUUAUUUUAAAAAACAAGGAUUUACUUUAAAAAACACAAUCUAUCACACUCUAAAAAAUACCUGUGGUAAACUUAGAGUAUGGUAUUGUUGUUAUUGCUAUUUCAAAAAUUUAAGAUUUAAAGGAUCACCAUCUUGUAUGCUAAUUAUUUGUGAUGAGACGAUUAGAUAAUAAAAUGCCAAAACUGAAUAAGGGAAGGAACGAAAAAACAAAAAACCCCAUCCAAUAGACUAGCAUCAUUUUCGUUUUAGUAUUUUUCAAGGCUAAAAUAGACUAUAUGGCCUGUUUGUUUUUCGUGGUUGUCGUUGUCAUCAACAAUAAUAAUUAUUAAUAUUAACAAAAAAAAGUUAAAAGAGAUUUUCAAGGCUAAAAUAGACUAUAUGGCCUGUUUUUUUUUUGUUUUUAAAUUAAAUUAUAUUUUUAGUCAUCUCUCACAUAGGUCAAGUCUAAGGCCCCUUCAAUGUUUUUAGGCCGAUGAUUGGUUUGCUUGAUAAUGCUAAGCCCAAUUGUAAUUAUUUUGGCCCAUUUCUUGUUCAUGAAUCCGUUGUUCAUGUCUUGAGGCCCAUCUCAAAUUCGAGCAGAGAACCACACUGAUAUUAUUCCCUUUCACAUAUGCUUAUCUACAUAAUAAAUCCACUCGACGUCCUUUGAUCUUCAUCCUGCUACCAGCAAAAUAAUUGUAUUUUUACACCCCUCUUGUCAACUGAUCAUUUAUGAUAUUUGAAAAUUAUGUUUUUUACAUUAAAAAUAGUGUGGGGCAGUAACAUAUAGUUUUGUUAAACAAAAACUAUAAUAUAUUUUUUUAAAAAAAAGAGGUGGAUGAUAGGUCAUCCAACCCCUUAAAAAUAUGAGUGUAUUUUUAGAGAGUUAGUUCUCAAUUUCUUAUUGUCUUGAAAUAAACUUGAAAUACUAUUUUUUUAUUUCAUUAAUAACUUAUUAUAUGGACAUGAUCCGUUAACUAAGCAAUGGACCAAUCCAAUAGAAUACUAAGUAAUGGACCAAUCCAGUAAUAAAAAGUUGAGGAGACCCAGCUCAAGUCAACGAGUCUUCUACUCCAACCAGAAAAGAAAGGGGAAAGUGUCUUCUUAUUCACAUGCUUAUCUAAUAUCAUCUGCACAAAUAGAAGUAACUUUCCUUGUGAUCUUCUUCCCACCUCCUCCUUACAGAUAACACCCUCCCUUCCUUUUCGGGCUUCUUUGAAUUUUGGUAUCCGAUCUUAAUGGGAAAUCACUGUGUUCUGGAUCUCGUUGGUUGAUCUGUAAUGUAGCAAUAAGCAGCUGUAAUUAUUUAAUUAGCCGUCGUCGGUGAAGAGGUCAAGUUUCAGUUCAGAUGGUGAGGUAUUGAAUUCUAGUAGCACUCAACUUUUAUUUGCCUCUUCAAUUUGGCCUCCCUAAGUCUUGCCUUGGCUCAACACCCCUCAUUUCCUGCUCUGUCCGCUGAGAGAGCCAGAGACAUGGAGGUUGAACAUUUUAGCCACCCAGAUCAUCCAUUGAUCCUCAUUAAUCAAGUUCUCGAAUAUAGUUGCAAACUAGUUAUUUGCUCUGGAUGCGAGGGACCAAUAUGGGGUCCUUGCUACAGUUGCACCUCUUGCUACUUCUUUCUUCAUAAGACAUGCGCCGAGCUGCCCCGUGAGAUCAAGCGGCGCAUUCAUCCUAGACACCCUCUCCAUCUACUGGCAAAGUCACCAUAUAAAGGAAAAUACCGUUGUAAUCGGUGCGACAAAACUUUCAACUGUUUUGUUUACCAUUGUUCUUUCUGUCAGUUUGAUCUUGAUAUCAAAUGUGCUUUUCCACCGGGUUUUUUGGAGGUUGAUAGUCAAUUUGCCCACAAGGAUCAUCCAUUGAUUUUGAAUGAAGAGCAAGAAUAUCAUGGUGAAGGAGUUACGUGCUCUGUGUGCAAGGAACCAAUGUCGGGUCCUAGCUAUAGUUGCACUCCUUGCAACUUCUUUCUUCACAAGAAGUGUGCUGAGCUACCCCCAGAGAUCAAGCGGCACAUUCAUCCAGAACAACCUCUUCGUCUACUGCCAAAUCAUGAUACGAUGUGUGAUUUUUGCAACGAAACUUGCUAUGAGAGUUUUGUUUACUGCUGUUUUGUUUGUGAAUUCACCCUCCAUAUCAAAUGUGCUUUUCCACCGUGCAUUGAUGCAGCUGAUCAGAAUCAAAGGCAUCAAUUUAGACGCCUAAUGAAUCCACUUUCAUUAAAAUCAAUCUCCUUCACUUGCAAUGCAUGUGGCACAGAUGGUGAUGACUCCCCAUUUGGAUGCACUAUGUGCCAACUCGUGGUCCACAGAAAAUGCAUUUCAUUGCCACGCACCCUUAAAACGGUACUGCACCAUCAUCCCCAAAUCAUCCACACCUAUCAUCCUCAACAAUGUAUCAAAUCUAUAAACAAGUACUGUGGAAUUUGCCGUCGGGAAGUUGAUACAGAAUACGGAGUUUACUAUUGCCCAGACUGUGACUUUGUUGCACACGUGAAUUGUAGCAGAGAAUAUGGCGAUUCUGCAUCAGAGACUGCAGGACAAAGUGUGACUGUUGAUGAUCAAUUCAUGGAACCUAGCUUUUGCGUUGUCCGUGAGAUCAAGCAUGGAGAGGAGAGAAUAAUUGAAGAGAUCGAGCAUUUCAGUCAUCAACAUAACCUAAUCCUUACUGACAAGGUUGAUGAUGAUCUAAAGUGUGAUGGGUGUAUGUUACCAAUCUCAACUCCAUUUUAUAGUUGUGUCAGUUGUAAUUUCUUUCUUGACAAAACCUGCAGUAUAGAAUUACCCAGGCGAAAAAAAUGGCAAUAUCACGAAAACCAAUUGAUUCUUUCAUGGAACCAAGGGGAACAUGAUCUGUACAAGUGUAGAGUGUGUAAUCAAGAUUUUCGUGGGCUCAGGUACGUAUGUGAUGUAUGUGGACUCUGCUUUGAUGUCCGAUGCUUCAAAUCAAUAUUGAAAGAUUCUUUUAAACAUGGAGGUCAUGAGCAUCCCCUUUAUCUUCCAGCGGACAGAAAGAGUAUUCUCCGUUGCAAUAUUGGGCGUCCCCCUUUGCUUGCAGAUGACGGAGAGAAUAUUCCGCAUUGCAGUGGCUGUUGUGUCAGUGAAGAAUCAAAGGUAUUUUUAAAAUGUGCGCGUUGCGAUUUCAAGCUGGGUAUGAAAUGUGCUACACUGCCAUACAAAGCAAGACACGAGUAUGAUGACCAUCCUCUCUUCCUCACCUACAUUAAUGAAAAUGACUACCAGCCUUCCUGCUUAAUUUGUGAAAAAGAUAGAGACCCGAAGCUCUGGUUCUACCGAUGUGAGGAAUGCGACUUCGAUGCUCAUCCUGAAUGUGCUCUCGGGAGAUACCCAUAUGUCAAGCCAGGGGAGGUUCACAAAUAUCGUAAACACCCUCACCCUCUUGCUUUGGUCGACAAGACAGAGGAUUAUCGUCCACAGGCAUGCGAUACUUGUGGUGAGCCUUGCGAUGACUUGGCCCUUGAAUGUACUGAUCCUAACUGCAGUUUUAUCGUCCACAGGAAAAGAAGGCAAUGCCGGGUAUCAUUAUGGUAAUUGGAUUGCAGUUGUUGGCUUUUUUCUUAUUUUUGGGUUAUGAUUGUUGAGGUGAAUGGUUAGCUUCAUACUUAUUAUCUUUGUUUCUAUUUUCGCAUUUCAGAUCACUUUUUUUCUCUUUUUUUCUGAACAAUAAAAGAUGCUAUUUCAUUAAAACUGUCAAUGUAUUUUGUUGUUUCUUUGUGCCUUUGUAAGUGACGAAGAUGCAUGACCUUCCACCAUUUUUUUUAGCUUAGCAGGAAGCUCUCCAUAAAUUCUGCUUUUACAUUUUUGUUAUAGAUUUUAUUGUAAAUGCAUAGAAAUAUUGUCAUAUAAAAUAACACUUAUCUAACCGAUAUCAAUUAUUUUCAUUCAAAUAUUUAAUUUUUAUUUCCUUAACACAAUCUAAUAAUAAAUAAAUAUAUUUAAAUAAUAUUUAAAACGCAUACCUAAAAGGCAUUAAAUAGCUUUGUCCUUUAAUAAGAUAUAUCAUGAAAAAAUAAGUUAAUUCAUGUUUUUGGUAUUUUUCUUCUUAAGUAAGAAUAAGAAUAAGCCUCCAUCUUUGUUUAUCUAAUUUCAAAACCACGAAGGGAUUUAGAGGCCCAAAUCCUAAAAAAAAAAAAAAAAACUAAAUAGGAAAAAAAAUAUAAAUCAACUAAUAAAAUAUCACAAGUCUAGAUAAUUUUUUUGGUUUUAUUUGAAAGUCUUGUUGAUUUUAAAUGAUUACAAAAUUCUAAUUUUAUAGAAAAUAAAGCUUUUAAAAUCUUCCAAUAAAAUUUUAGUUCGAUUAAGAUAAAAAAAAAAAAAAUUAUGCCCUUUACAAGAUUGCUUAUUUUUAAAAAUAUAUCAUAUAUCAAUCUUGUCUCGAAUUCAAAUUGUUGUUGCUUCAAUUUUGUAAGUAUCAAAUUAAAAAUCUCUAACCUUUUGCACGUGCUAGCAACAUAUUCCCAGCCUUCUCGGUAUUAAGAGUUCUUAUGGCAGCUUAUGGAAACUUUAUUGUCAUCAUCAAGGUUGUCAAUUUCGUUCCGUUCCGUCCGAAAUGGCCGAAACAUUCCAUACCAAUUUAAAAAACGAAACAAAACGAAACAAAUUCCAUCUCAUUUUAAAUCUCGGCCCGUUCCGGAAAUUCCGGCCGAAACGUUCCGGUUUCAUUCCGGUUGUUCCGUUUCGGCCAAAAAAUAUUAUUUUUAAAAAAUUAAUAUAUGGUUUAUAUUAUUUUAAGUUAAAGAUCUAUUUAAUCUUUACUAUUUAAAAAUAUUUUAAAUUUUAAAAUUAUAUUUGUUUGGCAUUAUGUUUGUAUUGCAUAAUUUAUAAUUAAUUUAUCUUGAAUUUGAAUUAUGUUUGUGGAAUAUAUAUAUAUAUAUAUAUAUAUAUAUAUAUAUAUAUAUAUAUAUAUAUAUAUGAACAGUACAACCCCGAAACGGCAUGCCGAAACACUCCGAAACCGAAACAUUUCGUUCCAAUUGAAAAAACAAAACACCUAUCGAAACGGAAUUGACAACCUUGGUCAUCAUACAACUUCGUUAGCAUAUUCAUAGGCAUUCACAGUUCUUCAAGAAUUCUCUUCAACCAUAACAUUUCACAAACUCCAUUUCCAUAACCUUAUAUUCUACUUAAGCGCUGCUUCUUACAAUCACAUUUUGUUUCUCUUCAGCUUUAUUUUGCCAAGUAACCAUAUUUCCCCAGAUUUAAGUAUAAUAUUCUAAUGUGCAUCUUCUAUCAAUGACUAAACCUGCCCAAUCUGUAUCAGUAUCAAGAUGUUUUGCAUGGGGUGAGUGUAACAAUCCCAAUAUUUGUAUUCAAAACAAAGAGGAAGGACAUGAUAAUUCAAUUAAGGUUAGGGAUUUUUAUUCUUUUUUGUAAUUAAUAAAAAUUUCAGUAGAAUUUCCUCUAUGUUUUUAGAUAUCAAGAUAUCGAUUCUUUUUCCGCAAUCCCCGUAAUCAAAUUUUUUACUCGUCUUAUCAUCCAGGACUGAUUGUGUAAACUAUUUUGUGUAAAGAUAGGUACAGUGAGCGCAUAAACCAACUUACUAAACUCACAAUAAAUGUAAUAUUAGAUCAUGUUUGUGAUAAGUAAAUCAGCUCUCCCACUAACUUUUGAUACUGUGUUGUCUUUGUUAAACUAAUUUAGAUCAAACAAAAAAAGGAGGUUAGAAUUCUGAAUAAACUGUAUAUUAUGAAUGCAUAGUCUUAACCUAAUUACAAAUAAAGUAUAUAUAGGUUAAACUGAAAGUACUAUUCUACCCUUAAUAAAUAAGACAACAUAAAUAUUAUUUAACAUCUCCCCUCAAACUCACGAUGCGGCAGCUACAAGCAUCGAGAGUUUGCCAACUAGAAAACGAAAACGAGAUAUGGAAUGCGCCUUGGUAAAGAAAUCUGCAAUUUGCAAUGAAGAAGGAACAAAAGGCAAAGUAAUGGUUCCAUGCUUGAGAUGAUGACGAGUAAGAUGACAAUCGAUUUCAAUGUGCUUAGUCCGCUCAUGAAAAACCGAGUUGUGAGCAAUCUGAAUAGAACUCUGGUUGUCACAAUACAUAGGAGUAGGAUGGGAAAAGGAAACUCUCAUAUCAGCAAGUAACCAACGUAACCAAAUAAUCUCUUUGGUAGUAGAUGCCAUGGCACGAUAUUCUGCUUCGGUGGAUGAUUGAGAAACAAUAGAUUGUUUCUUGCUCUUCCAAGAAAUAAGAGAAUCACCUAAAAAGAUACAAAACCCGGUAACAGACUUGCGAUCUGUGGGAUCACUACCAUGAUCAGCAUCAGAGUAUGCAUGCAACUCCAAGGAAGAGGUGGAUGAAAGUAAAAGACUUUGAAAAACUGUACCCCGAAGAUAUCGCAAAAUACGAAGAACAGCUGCCCAAUGAACAGUAGUAGGAGAAGCAACAAACUGACUAACAACAUGAACAACAUAUGCAAUAUCUGGACGAGUAAUGGUGAGAUAUACCAAACUCCCAACAAUAGUGCGGUAUAAAGUAGGAUCUAUCAAAGGUAAACCAUCAGAAAAAGAAUACCUUGUGUUAACCUCAAUAGGAGUAUCCACAGUCUUUAUCUUCCAGCGGACAGAAAGAAUAUUCUCCGUUGCCGUAUUGGGGGUGAGGGGUUUCCCCCUUUGCUUGCAUCGGACGGAGAGAAUAUUCCGCAUUGCAGUGGCUGUUGUGUCAGUGAAGAAUCAAAGGUAUUUUUGAAAUGUGCGGUUUGCGAUUUCAAGCUGGGUAUGAAAUGUGCUACACUGCCAUACAAAGCAAGACACGAGUAUGAUGACCAUCCUCUCUUCCUCACCUACAUUAAUGAAAAUGACUACCAGCCUUCCUGCAUAAUCUGUGAAAAGGAUAGAGACCCGAAGCUCUGGUUCUACCGUUGUGAGGAAUGCGACUUCGAUGCUCAUCCAGAAUGUGCUCUUGGGAAAUACCCAUACGUCAAGCUAGGGGUGGUUAUAACAUAUCCUAAACACCCUCACCCUCUUGCUUUGGUCGACAAGACAGAGGAUUAUCGUCCACAGGCAUGCGAUAUUUGUGGUGAACCUUGUGAUGGCUUAGCCGUUGAAUGUACUGAUCCUAACUGCAAUUUUAUCGCCCACAGGGAAAGAUGGAAAUGCUUUGACUCAUUACUAUAAUUGGAUUGCAUUUGUUGGCUUUUUUUCUUAUUCUUGGGUUAUGAUUGUUGGGGUGAAUGGUUAGCUUCAUACUUAUUAUCUCUGUUUCUAUUUUCGCUUAUCAGAUCACUUUUUUUUCUCUUUUUUUUACUGAACAAUAAAAGAUGCUAUUUCAUUAAAACUGUCAAUGUAGUUUGUUGUUUCUUUGUGCCUUCGUAAGUGACGAAGAUGUCUGACCUUCCACCAUUUUUUUCGCUUAGCAGGAAGCUCUCCAUAAAUUCUGCUUUUACAUUUUUGUUAUAGAUUUUAUUGUAAAUGCAUAAAAAUAUUUUCAUAAAAAAUAACACUUAUCUAAAUGAUAUCAAUUAUUUUCAUUCAAAUAUUUAAUUUUUAUUUCCUUAACACAAUCUAAUAAUAAAUAAAUGUAUUUAAAUAAUAUUUAAAACGAAGAUCUCAAGGGCAUUCCAUAGCUUUGUCCUUUAAUAAGAUAUCUCAUGAAAAAGUAAGUUAAUUUAUGUUUUUGGUAUUUUUCUUCUUAAGAAGAAUAAGAAUAAGAAUAAGAAUAAGCCUAUGUUUAUCUAAUUUCAAAACCACGAAGGGAUUUAGAGGCUCAAAUCCUAAAAAAAAAAAAAAAACUAAAUAGAAAAAAAAUUAUAAAUCAACUAAUAAAAUAUUAAGUCUAGAUAUUUUUUUUGUUUUAUUUGAAAGUCUUGUUGAUUUUAAAUGAUUACAAAAUUCUAAUUUUAUAGAAAAUAAAGCUUUUAAAAUUUUCUAAUAAAAUUUGAGUUGGAUUAAGAUAAAAAUAAAAAAAUUAUGCCCUUUACAAGAUUGCUUAUAUUUUAAAAAAUAUCAUAUAUUAAUCUUGUCUCGAAUUCAAAUUGUUGUUGCUUCAAUUUCGCAAGUAUCAAAUUAAAAAUCUCAAACCUUUUGCACGUGCGGGCAACAUUCCCAGCCUUCUUGGUAUUAAGAGUUCUUAUGGCAGCUUAUGACAGCUUUAUUGUCAUAAUACAACUUCGUUGGCAUAUUCAUCGGCAUUCACAGUUCUUCAAGAAUUCUCUUCAGCCAUAACAUUUCACAAACUCCAUUUUCAUAACCUUAUAUUCUACUUGAGCACUGCUUCUUCCAACCAUAUUUUGUUUCUUACUUUGCCAUGUAACCAUAGAUUUAAGUACAAUAUUCUAAUGUGGAUCUUCUAUCAAUGACUAAACCUGCCCAUUCUACAUCAGCUUCAAGAUGUUUUGCAUGGGGUGAAUGCAAACCCAGCAUUUGUAUUCCAAACAAAAAGCAAUAACAUGAUAAUUCAAUUAAGGUUAGGAAUUUUUUUUAAUAUAAUUAAUAAAAAUUUCAGCAGAGUUUUUUUAUAUUUUUAGAUAUCAAGAUAUUAACUUUUCUUCUAUAAUCCUCAAUAAUCAAAUUUUUUACUCGUUUUAUAAUUCAGGAUUGAUUGUGUAAAGAUAGAUAUAGUGAUCACAUAAAAUAUCUUACUAAACUCACAAUAAAUGUAAUAUUAGAUCAUGUUUGUGAUAAGUAAAUCAGCUCUCCCACUAACUUUUGAUACUGUGUUGUAUUCACACUAGAUCACCUUCCUUGUCAUCUUCAAGUUUCUGAUUGGGAUCUAUUGGAGUGUCUGCUAGCCUACAACCACUCAUCCCAGUCUCCUUAAGAACAUCAAGGACACACUGCUGCUGUUGGGAUAUAACGAUCCCCUUCUUCGACAGAACAAUCUCUAAUCCAAGAAAAUCCUUAAUCUCUAUUUCAAUGGCAUAUGGGUGAUUAUUAGAUUGAAAGGUUUUCCUUCUUUGAGAGCACCUUUUUUAAAGUGAAAUAAACACAACUUUCAGUUUAUACGUUGCUUGUAAGAAUAGCACAUAUGAGUAUGAUUUUGAGAUUUGAAAGAACUCCUUGUUUAAGAGGAAAUUGGACUUUGUCAUGUGAAAUGAACACCUUUUUAAUUUAUACCCUGCAGAAAAUGCAGAGGAUUUUAUACUGUGUUUAUUUAAAGUUGAUUGUCAGGCACAUCAACUUGCCCACACAGAUCAUCCAUUGAUUAAGAACGAAGAGCAAGAAUAUCAUGGUGAAGGAGUUAUGUGCUCUGUGCGUGAGGAGGCACUUGCACCCUCUUCACCUGCUGGCAAAGCCACCAUCUCAUUGCUCAAGAUGCGUUUGUGACAAGAGUUUUGUUCGCCAUUGUUGUUUCUGGGAAUUUGACGAUAUCAAAUGUGCUCUUCCACCGUGCAUUUUUGAACAUGAAGGUCAGGAACAUCUAAUUAUUUGUCUAGCAAAGUAGCUUCAGUUGAAGAUUGCCUGUCUCACUUGCAAAGCAUGUGGCACUGAUUUGUUGAAGAUUAUUACCAGCAGACGUCACAUCUGUUGCAUUUCUUCAUUCAGCUAACCCAGUCUCACAAAAUUUUCCCUGUGUUUAGAAAGUUUCACCAAAACAAUAAAGCUAAAAAUGUCAUUACAAUUUCCUAGUAGAUAUUCAACUUUGCUAUGAGUUUUCAAAACAUGAUAAAAAGAUUUCUAUUUUUUUAUUCUGUUCAAGCAACAUUGACAUGGCAAUAAGCUAGCAUUGCACUGUUAUGGAUCAUGGCGAUUUGAUUUGUUUUUCAAUUUACAAUUUAGUCAAAUUCAAAGAAAACUUACACACAAAAAAGGAAAUAACCUGUUCAAAAUCUAAUUAGAAAUAAACUUCAUUUUGAUAUAUGGAAACUGAUUAUAAUGAUAACAUGACCAUUGAAACCUAAAAACAUAAAUUUGUUAAUUAAGAAAUGCUAGGAAAACUUUUUUUUUUUUUACUAAUAUUUGUUUAUCAAUAGAAAUAAAAGGCAUCUAAAGUUUUUGCCGUUUACAAAAUUUUACAACACAUUGAGCCAUGAAAGUUGCCUGUUUUGGAAUGAGUCUAGAGAGGUCUUUGAAAUUGCAGUGAGACCUGAUUUAAAAAAAAAAACUUUAAUUUUAAAUUUAAUUUUUUAUAUUUUUAUAUACAUAUUGUAUCGGUAUUAUAAAUAAAUUUUAAAAAAUAUAUAAUAAAAAUUUUAAUCCAUUCAAAAAUAAUAAUAAUAAUAAUUACCACUAUCUUAUACCACAUCCACAUAGCAUCGGUUUUGCUUUGAAAACAACUUGGCGACUGAAUGGUGGUCUAGUUAAACGUAUUUUUCUAAUCAGUAAUUUUUCUUUUAAAAUCAAGACGGUUGGCAUGUACUUGUGCUUCGUUAUCUUAUUUAAUUUUUUAUUCUAUAGUAAAAGGUAUUUUUUUUAUUAGUUUAUAUGUCAAUCAUGAUUGAGUUUUUUAUUCAAAUGAUUUUAAGGAUAAACAAUUUAAAGUUAUGAAUCAUCGAACAAUCCAUUUAAAGUUAUAUAAUUAUGUUGUGAUGUAUCUUAAAUCAAAUAAAAAUUAUACUAGAUUAUUAACAUUUUUUAAUAAAUAUAAAAGAAAUAUUCAAACAUUACUAAUAUUUUUUAAAACAAAAAAAAAUUUAAAUAAUGUGAGGGUUAAUUUGAUAUAAUUUGGUUGAUUUUACAAGUUUACAAGUAAUCUAUAUAACCCGAAAAAACAUAAUUUGAUUAAAAAAAAUUUAAGAUGAUAUAUUUUUUUAAUAUUAAGAUAAAAAUAUAUUAAAUUAUUUUAUUAAAUUAAAUCUAAAAAAAGUGAGUUUUUUUAACAGAAGCAAGAAAAACAUUUUUUUGUAAUGAUUUAUGUGCACAUUAAAAUGUGUUUUAUAUACUUGAUUUGGUUCUUGAUCUAUAGUAAUGAACCGGCUUUAUUUAAAAAUUUCUCAAAAAAUAAAAUUGCGUUGAACAAAUUAAUAAAACUACGCUAUCUCUUCUUUUUUUAUAUAUAUUAAAUGAUUGGCUAAAGAUGAAAUAAAUAAUUUUAUAUUAUUUGUUUGUACGUAUUACUUUUAAGCGUAGACUCUUUUAUUUGGUGAUAUAUAUACGACUAACUUAAUUUGUUUUUCCUCGUGCACAUAUCGACAACCUUUUUCAAAUACCAAGAACAUGUCACUUCAAAGAAAUUUCCUGGUUGAUAAUGAACAGACAUAAGCAGUGCGUAAUAAUUUGACUGAAAAUAAAUGACAGCAGGGCAGGUUAAUUAGAUAUAGUGUACUAAUCAUUAAUUAAAUUUAUUUUAAUCAUUGACUACAUAUCUUAAGUAUUAACUGAACAUAUAAUUUCUUUUAAAAAAUAUCAAAAACAUUAAACUGGACUCAUUCUUCCUAGAUAUUGGGCAGGUUAAUUAGAUAUAGUGUACCAACUAUUAAUUAAAUUUAUUUAAAUCAUUGACUACAAAUUCUAAGUAAUACCUGAUCAAAUAUUUUUUUUUUUUUUUAAAAAAAGAAUCAUAAACAUUAAACUGGACUCAUUCUUCCUAGAGUCAGAAAAAAAAAAGUACACAUAUAAACAGAAUUAGAUUUGAAGAUGACGAGAGAGCAACCUCUUAACCACGAGAAUAAUUGAUUAAGGAAAGGAACAAUGAAGAGAACUUCGGAAUCAAAUAUAAUUAGAAUCAAAUAUUUUUAUAAACUCAAUUCUAUAUUGGAAACCAAUAUUAUUCCUUGAUUUAAAUUCAUGCAUGCCUCCUUUUGUUCUUCAAAGUAAAUAACACAGAAACCUCAAACCUGGUAUUCUCUCAACAUGUACAUCACUAUGCUGUCAUCCUAUACAUAUGUCAUAAAGGUUAAUUCCAAUAAUUAAAAGGUUGUGAAAUUGGUGCAAAACCCUACCUCUAAUGUUUUUUUAUUUCCUUGAAGGGGAAAAAAGGUUGAAUGCGAUUUUCUCUCUUAUAAUGCAUUAAUUCUUCCUCCACACAUGUCAUGGCCAUGGAAAAAUUAAUUUGGAAAAGUUGGUUUUUCAGAUUUGACUGUUCCUCCUUGGAGAAUAUGGACGCAAAAUCCAAUUUGUUUUUGGAUAAAUGCUUCCCUUUUCAACCAUGCAAAUAGCAAAAGUACAUGGUCUUUUAGGUUCGGCGUGAUAGUUACUUGGUCAAACCGAGGAAUAUAUGGGCUCAUUCUUAUGAGAAAGAUAAAGUAGAAAAGAUAUGCUCCUUUUCAGCUUCUCAGAAAUUAAACAUGCACUGAAAGGGUAACCAUGACAACUGACCAAUCCGCCUGCAAGGAAACCGCUCCAAUCUUCCCCAUGUGAGAAUUUCUUCUGCAGAGUUCAAAGUAUUCAUUUCUGCAGUGAAUUCAUGAUCAGAGCAGAGUUUUUCUUGGUGAACGUACAAGUCAGCUGUGCCUUUUUUUCUCUGGAGGAAAUUGAUGAAUAUUAGCCCAAUGAUGCCCGUACCAAUGAAGUUUCCUUGAUAUUUGAUACCCUCAAGGCCAGACGAACACUGCAAGCACACUAAAGUACAAGAACAAAUUGCAGUAAGAAAAACAAAGUAGAUUCUAUUAUCAUUUUCAUUGACUAUGGAUUUAGCUAUGGAAGUUUCAAUGGAUGACUAACUUGCGUGGAUCGAUGGUUAUUGAAUAUGAUCAAGAGGCGUGAGCAAGAUAUACAGCUAAUUAGACUUGUUCUUCAUGGAAUUUGCAAGAUCUCAUAAAUUUUGUUUAAUUUAAUAGCAAAGGAAAAUCUGCAGGAGGAUCAGAAGUGGGACUGCAAGACACGACGAUUAUAUGUAGACAAAUAUGCUCAUCAAAUCCAAUACAUACAAGCGUAAUUAAGCAGAGUACUAUUGUAUAGAUUUGAUGACAACUGCGUAAUAUUGGUCAACCAAAUAUUAUUCAGAUUGAUAUUAACUUCCCUGUUGUGAUAUCUACUAUUCUACAGUUCUAAGUUUUCCAAGAGAAAAAAUAUAAGAUCAGAAAAUACAAGGAAAUUUACUCCCUUAUAGAAGUCCUAACAUUUUUUUCUAAUUUAAGCUGACAUGAACCUGUCUUUUGUAUAUCCUCCACUUCUCAUUCAUUUGGCUUCAAACUUGCCAGAAAGUUGCACAAAAUUAACUACAGUUCUAACUUCUCAUUCUUUGGAGAGUUACUUUUGGCGAGAUGCGCUUUCCCUUGGUAGCCCCAUCCGUAAUUCUAGCUGUCCUCUGGGCUCUUGCUCUAGUACAGAGCCUUGAUUUUCAGUUUCCAAACUUCACGGAUUUAGAUAGAAAUCGACUUUUUUUGAGUACCAAUUCUAAUAUAGCCUCGAGAGCCAUCCAAGUCACACUAGAUAUUAAUGGAGCUCCAAUUUAUAACUUGUCUGGAAGGGUCAUGUACAAAUGGCCAUUCAGACUGUGGAGCAACGGAGGGAAGAAUGCAUCUUUCAAUACAACCUUCGUACUCAAUAUCAAAAACCAGACAGCUUCAAGUGGUGAAGGCUUAGCUUUUAUAUUAACAGCAGAUCCUGAUGUUCCAGUUGGAAGUGAAGGACAAUGGAUGGGAAUCGUAAAUUCCACGUUAAAUGGAUCCAUUGAAGCCAGGACAGUGGCAGUAGAAUUUGACACCAGAAAAAGUCAAUAAAAAACAAAAUACCAAAAACAACCCGAGUUAACUUUGGGUUAAUCCGUUAAGUAUUAUUUUCCGAUCAUGAAAACAAGACACCCUAGUAAAAAAUAAACCAAAAUAAAUUAUGAAGUUUAAUUCCUAAUAAAAGAUAAAAUUAGGGAAUAGGACAAUUAAGAAAAGAAAAAAAACCAAGUCAACCGGGUUAACUUGUCAAUCCCACGACCCAGGUAAUGAGAUUUGGACAAUUCAAUAAAAAAAAUUCAAUAUUAAAAAAUUUGUGACCUGGAUAAUGAGACCGGGAUAAUCUCAAAGAAAAAAAAUAGAAACAAUAACUCUAUUUUAAACCUAGUUAGUUUGUCAAAUCUAGAAUUUUUAUCAUCAUAAGAUAAGGAUAAUACUAAAAAAAAACAAAUAAAAAAGAAUUAUAAAAUUUAUUUUCUAACUGAUCCAUUGAAUGAGAAAAUUUAAAAAUUUAAAAAAACUAUAGAAAAUCUUUGUUUUACUUUCUUAAUACAUUCUACUUUACGAAACAAGGAGAAAGGAAAAAGAAAAAGGAUAAACGAAGAAAUUACUUGGUAGAGAUAACCAAGAAAUAGGUUUAUCAAGGGAAGAACCUAAUUUUUGUUCUAAAUAAACUUCGUGAAGCCACUGUUUCGAAUCACUAUGGCUUGUGAGAGGAUUUGUUGUGUAUUCGCAAAGUGUUUCCUUUUUUUUUUCCUCAUUAAUUUUUUUGGUUACUUUUUUUUUUCAUUUCAAUAUUUACACAUUUAAUUAAUUUAGAAUUGAAUUUCAUGAUAUAUAUAUAUAUAUAUAUAUAUAUAUAUAUAUUUUAUUUUUUUUCUUUUUUCUUUUUCGAGUCUUCAUGGUCUUUUAAAAAAUCAUGGCAUUAACUUUGUUUUUAAUUUUACAAAGAAGAAUUGAUCAGAAGCUUAAACCCCCUCUUGGAUCAAGUGGAGGAAUGCUCAAGUAAAGAUGAAAUAAAGAGAAAAACGAUGUCCUUUGUUCUUCCAUAACUACAUGAUUAUCUUACAAUUGUUUUUUUUUCUGACAGGUAGGGAUAAAUCUCCGUUUAUAAUGGUGAUAAAUAAGAGUGAGUAAUAAAACAUCCAAUACUUUCAGACAUAAGCAUGAUCAAGCAAACAGAUGAAUAAUCAAGAACAUAGUUAAUAAUUCUCCAGGAAAGAACAUCUCAGACCACUUUCAUAAGCACAGAGGUUAUGCAAUGCUUCAAUCUUCAGUGCAAAUUGCAACAAUAUCUCACACCCUACCUGCUCCUAACUUAGUGUAUUAUAUAUGAAGGUUGCAUUUGGCUGGUUUGUAGUGUUUUCUGUUAGAUGAAUUCACAAAUGACAUGUUGGUAGGGUGGAUUGCUCCUUCACUUGCAAUGCAUGCGGCACAGAUGGAGAUGACUCCCCUUUCAUGUGCACCAUGUGCCAAUUCGUGGUCCCCGAAGAAUGCAUUUCAUUGCCACACACCCUUAAAACUGCACUGCACCAUCAUCCCCGAAUCAUCCACACCUAUAAUCCUCAACAGUGCAUCGAAUUUAUAAACAAGUACUGUGGAAUUUGCCGUCGGGAAGUUGACUAGAAUACGGAGUUUACUAUUGCCCAGACUGUGACUUUGUUGCACACGUGAAUUGUAGCAGAGAAUAUGGCGAUUCUGCAACAGAGACUGCAGGACAAACCCAAGAAGGGCAAAGUGUGACUGUUGAUGACCAAUUCAUGGAACCUAGCUUUCGCGUUGUCCGUGAGAUCAACCAUGGAGAGGAAAGAAUAUUCUCCGUUGCAGCAGUGGAAGUCGCGGGUUUCCCCUUUUGGUUGCAGAUGACAGAGAGAUUAUUCCCCCUUGCAGUGGCUGUUGUGUCCCUGAAGAAUCAGAGGUAUUUUUUAAAUGUGUGGUUUGCGAUUUCAAGUUGGGUAUGAAAUGUGCUACACUGCCAUACAAAGCAGGACACGAGUAUGAUGACCAUCCUCUCUUCCUCACCUACAUUAAUGAAAAUGACUACCAACCUUCCUGUAUAAUUUGUGAAGAAGAUAGAGACCCUAAGCUCUGGUUCUACCGUUGUGAGGAAUGCGACUUCGAUGCUCAUCCAGAAUGUGCUCUCGGGAUAUACCCAUAUGUCAAGCGAGGGGUGGUUCUAACAUAUCCUAAACACCCUCACCCUCUUGCUUUGGCAGACAAGAUAGAGGAUUAUCCUAACUGCAGUUUUAUCGUCCACGAGGGAAGAAGAAGCAUUUAUUAAAAAAUCAAAUGAAAAAAAGAAAGAAAGAAAAAAAAGCACUACGAAAAAAAGAAAAAAAAGACACUAAAGUGCUUUGUUUAGAUGCCCCUUUAAAAGAAUACCUUGCCGCAGGUACUUUGCCUUAAUUUUUUCGGAGUUGAUCAAUAGAUAUUACUUCUAACAUUCUCUGAAGAAAAUCUUCGUUUUACUUUCUUAAUACAUUUUACUUUAGGAAAUAAGGAGAAAGGAAAAAUAAAAAGGACAAACGAGAAAUUACUUGGUAGCGAUAACCAAAAAAUAGGUUUAUCAAGGGAAGGACCUAAUUUUCUGUUCUAGAUAAACAUCAUGGAGCCGCUGUUUCGAAUUUUAACUUAUACAAACAAAUCCAAACCACGUAUAAAAUAACAUCACGUAUAAAAAAUUAAUUUAAAUAAAAAAAAUAUUGUUUUAAAAACAUUUUUAAAACAUAAAACAAAUAAGUUGUGAGUUUGAAUUAAAAAUACUUCUAUUUGAUAUGGUCUUUUCAGAAUAUUAUUUUAUUUUUAUUUUUACAAAAAUAAAUCAAUUUUGUUGUGAGAGAAAAAAAAAUCAAGGGGGUCAAAAUUAAAAGUUUAAUGAAAUAAUAGCCUUUUAAAGAAAAAAUAGGUGUCAAAGCCUUUUAAACUUAAAAUUUGAUCCAAUAUUAGUUUUGAUCCCUUCAACUUCGAAAUUAUACUAUUUGAUACAAAAUUUAUCUUAUUUACAUUUUAGUCCUUAAAUUUGAAAAAAAAAGAGUAAAAGUUACUAGAUUACAAUGAAUGAAAAAGAAAGUUAUUGUUAAUCACAUUCUAACAACCAAAAAAAAUUGUUCUUGGUGUCCAUUAGAAUCACUUUGUGUAAGUCAAUUCUAGCUAUUGUUCCUUAUAUCCUAUGCAAUCGAGUUUAUUACCUAAAUCAAUUUGCUUUGAAAUUGAAACAAUUUGCUAGAGGAUUUAUUUGGGGGGACAACAUUGAGGCUAGACGAACUCAUCUUGUUAACUAGAAAACUCUUUGCCAAUCAAAAGAUGAGGGAGGUCUGGGGCUGAGAUGAAUGUAUUUUAUGAACCGAGCUUUCAUAAUUAAUGUCGCACGUCACCCGCGCAGCUUCAGCUUAGCGAUUUUUCUCUUUUGUUGCUUUGAUUCGUUGGGAGUCGCCACCUAGUAUUUAAUUGAGAGCUACUAGGAAACCCGGGUGUACUGAUCUUGUUAGAGAUUCACGAGUAAGGGACUGAUUGUGGUUAGGGAAGAUAUUAGCACCCCUAACACACCCUACUUGAGGUAAGCUGCUUCGUGGCUUUGAUGUGUUAAAGAAGUUUUAAUAAUUAUCUUUUCAUCGGAUAUUAGAAAUACGACUUACGUGUAAGUUCAUAAUUCUUGACCAUGAGCAAAUCAAAGUAUUAAAUUCUUCUUUAUUCUUUGCAAUUUUAUCAUAAAUAAAAAGAAACAUCCAUAAAACAAAUACAAACACACAAAUACACUUUCACUAUAUGUUUUUCUUUUCUUUUUCCUUUUUUUGCUUCCACAUUUACAAAUUAUAAAAAAUCAAAACUAAACAAAUAUUGCAUUAAACAAUUUGAAAAUUACAAAAUGACCCAAAACAACCCAGAACAGUGUUAGGCCGACUUCUGGAGCUACCGGAACAGUGGCGUUGUGUUGUUUCAUGCACCACCGCCAUUAGCGGCGUGUGGAUUCACACACCUCUGCCAAUGACGAUGGCAAGACCGAUGGAUUGUGAACGUCUUAUUCUUCUCUGUUUCCCUACAUCGGCGGUGACCUGCAGCAACAACAAAACCGCAACAACCAGUUGAUUUUAGUUUUUAUUUCCUUUGUUUUUUUGAAAUCUGCUUCGGUUUUUUCUUUUUAGAUCUGCCCUGUUUCUCUGCCUCCCUUCUCUGUUUGUUUCUCUUCUACCGAAGACCGAUCUGAUGGUUGCUUUCGUCCGCAAGGCUUGUGGAUCUCCGAUGAGGAUGGCGUUGCUGUAGCUAUUGGUGAAGGAGAUCAAUGGAGGCUCAGCAGAGAGAGAGGGGUGUCGCUAUUGAAGGCAGUGAGCUGGGUCAGCUGAGGACCGGUUGAAAGAUAUGAGUGGUCUUGGCUAGUCUAUGGUCGUUGCUGUUGAAGAGACCGAAGAUGAAGAAGACGCUGCUGAGAGAAAGAUUGGUCUGGUCUGUCGGUUCAAAGGGGAGGAAAUGCAGAUGUCAAGGAAAUGGGGGUAGUGCAGAUGCGGUCUGCCCUUUUAUUUCUUUGGUUUUUUUUUUUUUUUUAAAGGAUGGGGGAGAUGGACGGUUAAGGAGGUGGAGUGGAAGAACGAUGGAGAGGGGAAAUAGGGGUUGGUGUGCCGGACGUGGGGAGAAGAAGAUGGUGAGCGGCAGCUUAGGAGAGAAAAUGAAAAGCCACUGGUGGGGUUGCGGCUAUGUUUUGGGUAGAGGUGGAUUUUAGGGUUAGGUUUCCUUUUUUUUUUUUUUUGUAUUUUUCUUUCAAAAUUGCCCCCCUCACUUUUUGUGAGCAUUGAAGGCUAUUAUUUAUAGGUAAAAUGUUGUUUAGGCCUCAAAAUUAGUCCUUCAACUUUCUUUUUGUAAAUUUUAAUUUUUCUUGUCUUUUUUUGUAUUUUUUUGAAAACGAGCAAUAUCAAAGUCAACUCAAUGAAGAAAAUCAAUGAUUUUAAAAAUGACGCGUGAAAAGUUGAACGCACUCGAAAGACCCUUGAAAAUUUUAAAUUUUUUUUUAGACGAUAUUGAAAAUGCUAAAAAUAAUGCAAAUAUAUUAAAAAUAUUUUUUUGGAUUUUCGUUGUUUUUCACUAUUUUUGAAUUUUUCAAAAAUUUUAUAAAAAAUAUAGGUCAAAAAUUGGAUAACAACAAUUAAGAUGGGAUGGGGUAUCAUUAACAAUAAUAAUAGUCUAUAGGCUUCAAUUCUCAGAAGUAAGUAUGUCAGAUCUAGUGAUAACAUUCUCCUAUUUGGAAUGUGAUAUGCAAGGAAUGGUCUCAUGUGAUUAAAGGCAUUUCAUGGGCUACUAGCAAUGGAGAAAAUGUCAAGUAUUAGGAAGAUAAGUGGUUGGAUGGCUUUGGUUCUCUUGCUAGAUAUGCGACUUAGGAUCUAUCUGAGGAACUGUUCAAUAAGUCGGUGGUAAAAAUAGUUUCAGUAAUAAUCAGUGUAGAUGGGAUACUUUUCCACACCUCUUGCCAAUGAAUAUUGUGAUGACUCUAGCUAGCUAUCACCCUUCUAAUAAGGAGUCAAAUAAGGACCAUCUCUUUUGUAACCUUUCAAUGAAUGGUGGGUUCACUAUUAAAUCAGCUUAUUUCUCUCUUAUUAACUCUUGUGAUAACCAAACCCAUUUGAAGCCUUUAUGACAUUUUGUUUGGAGAUAGAGAGGUCCCAAAAGAAUUAGAUCUUUCCUUUAGCUUCUUGUCUAUAACAAAGCAAUGACUAAUGAGAUUAGGUAUAAAAGACAUAUGAGUGGUUCCUUUAAUUGUCAUUGUGGUAGUAGUGAUAUUGAUACUAUUUUGCAUGUGUUAAGGGACUGCAAAUGGGCCUAUGAAGUGUGGCUGAAAAUCUUGCAUCCAUGUGAUAUUGAUGGUUUUUUUGUUGUGGAUUUACAUGUAUGAUUGCUAUCAAAUUUGUCAAGCAUAGUUAAAACGAAGAAAGGUUGGCUUGGUCUUUGGGCUUUUGCAAGAUUAUUUUGGAAUUUGAUUCUUUAGUUAUGGUGGGUGUACUCUUGAAAUAGACCAUGAAAGUUGAUGCUAACUUUGCCUUGGUUAACAGAGCUUAUGAAGCACUAAAAAGAGAUUAGGUAAUCCAAAUACAACAUUCUUACACAGAGGCAAAUGCUACUGUUGAUAGGCUCGCUAACUUUGGGUUUUCCAGGCAUCCACUUUCUAAGGAGGAUUUGACUAUUAAUAACACUCUAGAGAGCUUGUAUUGGUUUUAUUUUAUGACUUGAUUGGAACGAUAUUCCCUCAAGUAAUUUAAUUUUAGGCUUUAGUCCUGAUUUAUACCAAAACAUAUUAAAAAAAAAUACUUUAAAAAGAACAACUACUACACUACCAAAUAUUCCUUUAUACCCAUGGACAAAUAAUAAUGUAUUUGUUUCUCAUUUAUAGAUUAUUAAGUGUAGUUAACAUACUUAAAUUUAUUAAUUUAAACAGUAUGUUACGAUAAAAAUAUCAUUUUAAGGUUUAACUAUGUUUUUAAAUAUAGUAAUUGUUGAUUUAUGAUUUUAAUAAUUAAAGGAUUUUACCAAUAGAUUUUAAGUUUAGGUACCUCUAAUGUAAAAUACUUACAUCCAUAGGCAAAUGAGUAAUAUAGAAAGCUGAGGAAACCUAACUAAAAUCAACGAGUCUUUAACAACUACCUUCGUAUACAGUUAAAGUUGAGUAAUAUAGGUCGCAACUUGGAUAACAGAUCAUCUUUUUAAAAAAAAUUAUAAUAUUUUAAAAAAAAAAAAUGCAUAACAUAUCAUCCUUUUAAAAAAAAUUACUUUAGUCCAUCUCUUUUCAUUAUAAAAUAUAGAAGUCCAAAGGCAAUAGUUUAUGUAACGGAUGAUAAAGGAUGCUUAUGAGUUGGCUUUUUCAAAAUAAAAUGGUAAUUUCUUCUACAUUUAUAGAGCCUAUUUAUUUUUAUAUUUUGAAAAUAUUUUUUAAAAAUAAUAUUUUAUUUUUUUAUUUUUAAACUGUUUUGAUGUAUUGUCAAAAUUAAUUUUAAAACACUAAAAAAAUAUUAUUUUAAUAUAUUUAAAAAAUACUUUAAAAAUUAAAUAGUACUAUACCAUCCUCUUAUACCCAUGAAUAAAUAAUAAAUUAUAUAUUUAUUUCUCAUUUAUAGAUUUAGUUAACAUACUUAAAUUUAUUAAUUUAAACAGUAUGUUAUGAUGAAAAAAAUAUCAUUUUAAGAUUUAAUUAAGAUUUUUAAAAUAUAUAUACAAGUACUUGUUGAUUUAUGAUUUUAAUAAUUAAAGGAUUUUACCAAUUGAUUUUUAACGUUUAGGUACCUCAAAUGUAAAAUACUUUACACCCAUGGGCAAAUGAGUAAUAUAAGAAGUUGAGGAAACCCAACCAAAGUCAACGAGUCUUCUUCUCCAACAAGAAAAGACAUGGGAAAGUGUCUUCUUACUCACAUACUUGAACAAUCUCAUCCUCACAAAUAGACGAGCCUGUAGCUUUCCUCGUGAUCUUCUACCCGCCUCUUCCUUACAGGUAACACCCUUCCUUCCUUUUUGGACUUCUUGGAAUAUUUUUCGUUUCGGCUCUCUGUCCCAUAAUCUUUGAUAAAGAGGAAAAUGAAACAAAAAAUUGAUUGGUAUCCGAUCUUAAUGGGAAAUCACAGUGUUCUGGAUCUUGUUGGUUGAUCUGUAAUGUAGCAGUAAGCAGCUGUAAUUAUUUAAUUAGCCGUCGGUGAAGAGGUCAAGUUUCAGUUCAGAAGGUGAGGUAUUGAAUUCUAGUAGCACUCAACUUUUAUUUGCCUUUCCAUUUCGUUAACAUAUAUAUUCGGCAGCUUCAAUCUGGCCUACCUAAGUCUUACCUUCUCUCAACAACCCUCAUUUCCUGCUCUGUCCUCUGAGAGAGCCAGAGACAUGGAGGUUGAACAUUUUAGCCACCCAGAUCAUCCAUUGAUCCUCAUUAAUCAAGUUCUCGAGUAUAGUUGUGAAUUAGUUAUUUGCUCUGGAUGCGAGGGACCUAUAUGGGGUCCUUGCUACAGUUGCACCUCUUGCUACUUCUUUCUUCAUAAGACAUGCGCCGAGCUGCCCCGUGAGAUCAAGCGGCGCAUUCAUCGUAGACACCCUCUCCAUCUACUAGCAAAGUCACCAUAUAAAGGAAAAUACCGUUGUAAUCGGUGCGCCAAAAGUUUCAACUGUUUUGUUUACCAUUGCUCUUUCUGUAAGUUUGAUCUUGAUAUCAAAUGUGCUUUUCAACCGGGUUUUUUGGAAGUUGAUAGUCAGGCACAUCAAGUUGCCCACAAGGAUCAUCCAUUGAUUUUGAAUGAAGAGCAAGAAUAUCAUGGUGAAGGAGUUAUGUGCUCUGUGUGCAAGGAACCAAUGUCUGGUCCUAGCUAUAGUUGCACUUCUUGCAACGUCUUUCUUCACAAGAAGUGUGCUGAGCUACCCCCAGAGAUCAAGAGGCAAAUUCAUCCAGAACACCCUCUUCGUCUACUGCCAAAUCAUCAUUUGAUCUGCGGAUUUUGCAACGAAACUUGCUAUGAGAGUUUUGUUUACUGCUGUUUUGUGUGCGAAUUCAACCUCCAUAUCAAAUGUGCUUUUCCACCUUGCGUUUAUGCAGCUGAUCAGGAUCAGGGGCAUCAAUUUAGAAGCCUGCUGAAUCCACGUUCAUUCAAAUCAAUCUCCUUCACUUGCAAUGCAUGCGGCACAGAUGGAUAUGGCUCC